ACCUGUUUACACAGAAAGUCAUUACUGCUAGAGACAUUGGGACGGGAUGUUUGCUCUUUGGUGCUUUGAUGGAUGAUGUUGGAAUUGAUUUACCAAGAGCACCGAAUAAUUUUGGUGAGAUUAUUGGGAAACUAAUUCUGGCCGGGGGAUUGGAUUUUAAAGUGGUGCAGGAGAUCCUCAAGAAGAUGGAAGAGGAGAUGUAUCGGAAAUCUGUACUUGAUGCAGCAUUGAGGAUAAUAAGCUGUAGUCCUGGGCAAAACAUAUUGGAUUCACAGGCAUCUGAUAUUGAGGCCUGCCAGAGUCUGCUGUAGCACACCUAAUAUAUAUAUCUCUUUGCAUGAGCGCGAGUGUCCACGUGGAUUUCCCGUGCUUGCUUCCAGGUCUUCAUAACCGACUGAGGCAAGCAACAUGUAUCAUGUGAUAAGGUGGAGCGGUCAAAAAGAAAACUGAAAAAAAUAGGUAAAUUUUAUUGAGUUGUAUAUCUUUUUGGAGGUCAGAGCUUUGUGUUUAUUGAGGAAAGAAAUCAGAACUAUAAAAUGCCAUGGAUUUUGUUCCUGAGUGCAGCUAAUCAUGUUGCCAAAUUGAUUGAGAAGACUGGCCCCUUUUAAGGGAUCCAGUUACUGUUUUGUAUUUGAGUAGUUUUUUUCCUUUUGUUAUUUUGUUUUUAAUUAUUUUUUAGUUUCUUGACUGAAGUAAUUUAGUUUAUUGUUAAACUGUUCACUUCAUAAAUCGCAAAAGUAGUUUGCCCUUCCAUGGUUACAUUGCUGAAAGACAACUGUCUUUGUUUGUCUCUUUGAUCCGAGAUGGGUUCUUCCAUUCUUUUUGUUUCUUUCCUGGCAAUUUCACUUGUGUUUGGAGUAUGGUUUGCAGUGAAUGGCCUAAAUUUUUGGUUGAAUGAGAAAGAGAAUGUGAAUAGAAUGUUGACAAGCAUAUUUGUUCUGAUUGUUUGCUUAUGAGACCCAGUGGAAAAUUUGUAUGCGUGCUUGUGCAAGUUCUGCUUGAGGCUUCUGCAAAUCUCACAUAAAUGCAGUUUUAAGAAUUGAGUUGGGUACAACGUUGUGUCUAAUUGACUUUUCUUUUUAGUCAUAUCUUUUGCUUUCUUACAUCAUUUAGUUGGAAGAGGAGAGCUACUCCUCCAUAGAUCUCGAAUCCAGUAUUGGGAUUGAAGUGGACCUUAGUGGUAAUCUCUUUAACUGGAGAAUCUUUGGGCUUCACAGAGAAUGAUUACGGCACAAUGUUGUAGUAGUAACGCGAGGGAGGGGCUUGGCUUCACUCUAUUAGAAAAGCCUCAAAGCGUUUUUGUUUUUUUUUUAAUUGUCAGUGGAUUGAUGUCUUAUGAUCUAUUGUUAUGUGAGAGGCAUCUAGCCGUUUUCAAAUCCGAAUCAAUCUAACACCAGCCGUUCGAAAAUGUUCUCACAAUUUUGCAGACUUGAAGUGACUUUUCUUAUUUGGUUUUUGUUUCUUUGCUUUCGUUUAUUCUGAAAGUGAAUCAUUCUUGUCCUGGGCCGCGUGCUUUUCUGCCGACCUGAUAAUCUGAGAAAAAUUGUAAGCAAGCGGAGAGAAAGGGACAGCACACUGAUAACUGCCCCAAUGUUCUUUUAGAAAACCUGUUACUUUCGUGCACCUAACCCGAUAUUACGACCAUGGUCGAUUCUUUCUUUUGAACACAAUUCACAAUCAAAUAUCACGACUCACGCUCACAUCGCAUGAGUCAUGACGCAGGAAAAGGUGAAAAGAAGAAAAAGAAAAAGUAAUAGAAAAAGACUGGUUUAAAGUGAAGUGGUAGUUGUUUCACUGUUUGAUAAUAUAUAUUUCUUGCACAGGGCUUUCAACUAAUGUAAUGAUGAAGAACACAAUUUUUGAAUAAGCUACAGCCAAAUUAAUAUUAACUAAAGCGCAGAAGAAGCGCGUAGAAAAGAAAAUAAAAUUAAAAAAAAGAAGAAGAAAAUAUAACUAAUUAGAUAAGGAAGAAACAAAAGAAAAGAAAGGAAGCAAGAUGGAAGUAGUUAUUAUUAUGAGCAGCUGGGUUAGGUGAUGAAGAGGAUCUGUGAUGACCAUUGCGAGUAACUGCAAAGCCGCCGCCACGUGUGCCGCCACGAGCACCCGCACCCCGGGCUCCCUUUUUGAUCUGAGUAGGCAACGACACGGGUUGAGCUGAAACGGUGAUGAGGUAGAUGAUGAUGAAGAUGACGAGUGAAAAGGCAAGCUCGUAACACCUCAAUCUCAUGCUGUUGCUGUUUCUUCUCCCCAUAUAUUGUUCGAUGUCUGUUUGUUCAGACUCCAGAACAAAACCUCUGGUUGCGGCUGGCUAUUGUCUUUUGUUGUGAUGACGUGAAUGUGUUAAUUGUUAACACAAACCUUUCAAACUUUGUGCCAACUUGUUUGAAAAAACCUUGUGAAGGCAAAAGAUAUUUCUGACACUAACUCACGGUGGUUGGCUUCCAUUAUGAAUGAUUACGUUUAAACUUUAAAGUGAUCUACUUUCUGCAUACGUUUAAAGUGAUCUACUUUUCUUUCUUUCUUUCUUUUUUUUUUCUUAAAAAUAAAUAUAUUAUAUUUCUAUUUUCUUCGCAUAGCCUUUCAUUCCUUUUAAGAUUUUUAACGUCUAUUAUUUUUAGAGUAGCGCUCGAGAGAGAGAGAGAAGCACUAGAGAAAGACGCUCUCUCUACCGGUUUCUUUAUUAUUUCUCUUAUUUUUUUAUCGUUCUUCUCUACACCAAAUAUUUUUUUUAUUUUUAAGGUGUAUUUGACACUCAUUUGACUUGACACUCCUUGAAAUGUUAAUUAUUAUUAAAUUUUAUUAAGUUGUAUAAUCUAUACUUUACAUCUACUCAAAAUUAGUAUGAUUCAGUUAUUACUUAUCAAAUAAUUUAAGACUCAAAAAUUAUUAUUUUUGGGUCAGCUGUUUUAUUGCACAUAUAAAUUCAUGCAUUUGUAACAUAGCUUAGAAGUAUAUGAAAAUAACUUGAAAAUAUGAGCCAAUUAAUUGAACGUGAGACCUCUACUCCCACACAUAAAAUUAAAGAGAUAUCUCAACUUCCACUAAUAUUUGAGAAUGUGACAGGAGAUUAAAUAUCGAUUUCAUGAAAUGUGCCUUCAAUAUUGGUUGACCGAAUGGAAAUGCAAUUUUAUAUCAGCAAAUAUACAUUCAUUUUCUAUUAUAGAUGAAAGUCGGACGGAAAUCAAUUUCUUCCACAAGACUUCUUAAAUGCAAUAUAGCCAAAAUUAAGCGCAUUACUGUAAAGAGUGUAAUCUUUCUUCCACGCUCUUUCCUGCAUCUUAAAUUACACAAUAAAUUUCUUGCACAGGGCCAGGCUUUUACUCAAAUAAUUAAGAUUGCUGGAUUUAUAAAAUAUAUAUACGCUGGAUUGUGAUGACCAUCACUGAAAAUGCGCGAAUGUUCGACGGCUCAUGAUAUAUCUCAUGCUCAUGCUGCCGCCCAUGGCUUUUUAAUUUGUUCAGAGGAAAAGAACCAAAAGAUUAGCAAGUGCCAACAGCAGCUAGCUGGCAAGCUUUUAAUUUUGUGUUAUUUAUUUAGUUAAAAGGCAAAGGAACUGCAAAAAGAUUUUUGUGAGCGAUAUAUAUAUGUUUAAACGAGAGGAGAUUUAAGUAGGUUGAAAGCGAUCAUCUUUCUUCGUAUUAUUUUGCAAAAUUCUAUUUCUAUUUUCAUCAACGCGUUCAUGGAUCCGUACGAAUCUUUAUUAAUUACACUUGAGCUUUAAGGAAAUAUUUGGCACUGAAUGGCAUGUGACUUGUGAGCCACAUAACUAGUACAUCACCAUCCAGUCGCAUGCAUGUAAGUUUAUUUAUUUUUAAGUAUGUUAUAUAGAGAUGUUACCAACAUUACAAUUAAUAUUAUAUUUUAAACCCUCUCAUAUUAAAGUGGUGUCUACUCCACUCAUGUUUUGUAAGGAAGAAAUUGUCUUUAACAUUUCGAAAGGGAGAGACUGUCUACACUCAAUUAUUAGGGAGUACUGAAAUUAACUCUUAUAAAACUCUUAUAGAGGUUCGAACCCCCAUACCUCCAUAAAAUUUUUAUGGAGGUUCGAACCUUUACAUUUAACAUUAUAAGUGUAAGACUUCUCCUAUUAAACCAAAAGUGCAUUGGUAUCCAUAUGCAUUUACUAAUACAAUGAAAACCAUCACAAACCUAAAAAUACAAUUGGGUUUGGGUUGGGGUGCGUUGAUCAUUACGCGCGCGGUCCAACUGAAAUUUGCGUUGAUCAAAACAUUUUAUACUUUCCUGAUUACGUUCCCAAAAUUCUCCCCGAAUAAUAUAUUUCGCAUAUUAAAGAUAAAAUUAAAAAUUUCUUAUUCACACGGUAAAUAAACAAACUGAUGAGGAGAACUGACAAAACGGUAAAAUUUGACUCCCGUUUUUGGCCGUGUCCAUUUAAUUUUACUCACGUGCAAAGCUAUUAAACUCACCCCCGUAAAAAGUAAAAACACACGGCUAGCUAACAGAACUUUACCAUUUUACCAACGAAAGCUUAUCUCGAACUUGGAACUUUGAUGGCAAAACCACGACGCUCCUGCAAAAUCAAAGAUGACGGAUGUAGGUAAAACGAGUAAAUGAGCCGAGGCCAAAAACGACAGCCAAAUUAUCGUUUUGUCAGCAACUUUGGUCAGCGGACUUCUCCUCUAUAAAUAACAGUAGAAUUCAUUCCAUACUCUCCCGCGUUCGUGUUUAACUAAGAUUCAAAAUUAUGGCCACCGGCCAACACCAAAACGCAAGCUCUUCUCCACAGAACGACGAAUCAAUUAAGCUCGCCGUCGCCAUUUCCCUUCUCCGAUCAAAGCUUCUCCACUGCCGAAAUCAAAACGCUGAUGAUCCAUCUUCUGAAUCGGACGCUCUCCGCUGGAAGCGAAAGGUCUUCCUCUUUAUUCCUUCUCGCGACUUCCCUUUUCGAUGUAAUUAAACAGUCUAUUUGAUACACGUCUGUUUCUUAUUCGAUUCCAGGCUAAAGACCGAAAGCAAGAGCUUCUCAGACUCAGAGAGGAUCUUCGAGAAGCUGAAGGUUCUUGAUUUAUUUAUAUUUCUCUUUAUACAUUUUUUUUCCUUUCCAUUGUUAAUUUUAGUUUUUGUUGUAGAUGCUUUGCAUUACGAUCUGCUUCCACAAAGUGCUUCUUGCAAGUGCUAUUUCUUUGAUAAUUUGGGGAAAUUGAGCCCUAGUGGAGCUGGUGACCGCUCUGAUUAUCGGUUCAACGACGUUCUUCGCCGUAGAUUCCUUAGACAAGGUCGACUUUGUCUUUAAUCGUUAUCAUGAUCAUGAUCAUCCUUAUUGCUGCUGUCGUUUAAUGUUUUGUCAAUUUUGCAGUGAGGCUUCAGGAAAGGAGAAGGAGAAGAACUAGUGAUUCGACUCAACGGCGACGUUUUACUGGUAAAAAUAAAAAUAUGGACUUGACUGGCAUAAUUAUGCCUCUGUUCUGAUUAAACGUUGACGUUUUCAGUUAUGAAAACAGAAGUUGCAUUUUGUUGCUACGUAUUAGAAACUCCUUAGCUUUAUAUGAGGAUUAAAUUUCGUUUUCUAAUAUCAGAUUAUGAUUUGGAAUCAAUAAAAUAGAAUCAAAAGCUUAUGGCCAUGCGUUAUCCAUGAUUUGGAAGAUAAUUUAAUGGUUUGGAUUAGAAAGGGCCUGAAUCCAUGUGGAGUGUUUAAAAGCAACGGUGUUGUUUAUUUGACUACAAACUUUUCUUAUGAAUAUAGACUUAAACAGUGAAGAUGAGGUGGAGCAGCUAAGGGCCUCGGUUGAUUUCCUCGUGGAUCUCUGUGACACCGUUUCUCCGGUGAGAGGGAAUUUAGUGACAUUUCUUAUGAGCUAAUUUAUGUCACUUUCGGAUUGUUUGUAAAUUUGUUUAGUGCCUUGUAUUUCUGCAGGCGGAAGAGGCUAAUUUUGCAAACUGGUCACAUCAAGCUGUGGACUUCAUUUUAGGUGAAAUGACACCUUGCAUUAUCAUAUGCCAGUCCUUUAGAAUGGUAUCAAUAGCAUAAAUUGGUUUCAUAACCUGUUAAAGUAGUGUUUUUCACGAGGCAAGAAAUUUUGGCUUUUAGAAGGACCUCUGAAUUUAUCUGUACAAAGUGGUUACCAAAUAUGUGUUCAAAAUGCAAUAAAUUUUAGCAUCUUUGAAGCGUAUUAUUUGCUUGUCCUUUCUGACUGCUUUAAAAGUUUUGAGUUUAGAUUUGGAGAGGAGCUUAUUCCUUCUCUCCUUUUAUCUUAUUGCACUUCAGUGAUGAAAUAGUUGUCUGCUAGUGUGAUGUGAAUUUAAUGUCAGGUCAGCUUUCUAUUUUAAUAAAACAUUGUCCACCUCUUUGGCUUGGCCGACAGAUUAUUUUAGCUAUUGGAAAAGUGGUAAUGGGGAACAUCUUAGAAGUAUUGUAUUUUGCCUUCUUCUUUCAUCGUUGAACCGCAACUAUCUUGGCAUCAAAUGUCGUCCAGUCUGUUCUGUCGAUUACUGGAAAAACACCUAAAGCCGAGUAUAUCUUCAGUAACAUAGAUUGCCUGCAUCUGCUGUUUAAAAACCAUUGAUUGGAACUUUUGUAUGAGUCCAUGUCAUAUUUGGAGCUUACCACCUUGAGGACAACUGUAGACCAUAUAAACUCUUAGGAGUACAACUAAGAUGUGAUAGGAUGACAUUUAUGCUAGGAACUUUAUAUGGACUGGUGAGAACACUCUGCAUGUUGCAUCCUAUGCCAACUGCAGACUUUGAUUGAUAAAGUUUAAAGGCAUUAGGGGUGGAAAUAAUGUAGGAAAAUGCACAGGUUGAGGCUGUACAUUGACACUGUGGCCUAUUGUUGGGUAACUAUCAGGCUUGUCUUUUAUGAUCUUAAUGGCAAAAAGAAAAAACGACAAAAUAGGUGGCCAGGAAAAAAUAAGAGAGAGAAUUUCAGAAUAAUUUGAUGUGAUUGACUGCAAUUUUUUAUGGUAAUGCUUCAAGUCUAUGCUCUAGUUUCUACCUUCAUGUCUGUAGUGUGGCACAUGUUAUGAAAAUUUUGUUCAUGUUACCAAAUGAAACUCUACUUUUCUUGUCAUUAAGUACUAAUGCUGUUUAUAAUCUGUCUUGAAGCAUCACUAAGGAAUCUAUUAUCAGCGGGAAAGAACAUGGAAUCCAUUGAAGGAACAAUACGGAGUUUAAUUAUGAGAUUGGUUAGAAGGAUGUGUUCCUCCUUGAAAGAUGAUGGUAUAUGUCUCUAGAUAAUGUUUUCAAAUGUUCUUCAUUUCCCCACUCAAAAGAAUGUUGUAAAAGGUUUUGGCAAUCUUUUUUCUUAUUACCUUUGGCAACAUUCCAUCAACAUAUAUUCCAUUUCUUUGCGCAAACUCUCUUUCUUGGUCUGAUUGAUUAGGCUCUUGUUGUUAGUAACUUGGUACUUUUUUUAUUUUUGUUUACAAGGAGAUGCCUCAGAGUCAGAUAACAUUGACAAUGAUUCCCAAUUCUGCAUUCAGCACAUGAUUCGCAAGCUAGCAUUUGAUCCUUAUAUUGGACACAGGGUCAUACUCUUAGUUUCUCAAAGAAUUUCAGUACUAGCUGAAAAAUUGCUGUUCUCUGAUCCAUUUGAUGAUGCUUUCCCCAAUAUGCACAGCUGCAUGUUUCUACUGUAAGAAUUUCAGUAACAAAUUUCCAUCCAUGACCGCUUCCAAUUUAGCAUCUUGAGCAUCUGAAGCACAUGCUGUUUUAGCACAUGAUCAAAUUGAUUUGGUGUAUUGACAGGAUGCAGCUUAUGGAGUUUGUGAUAUCAGAAUACUUAGUAACUUGGUCAAGAGCUGAAGCGUUUGACAGCUGUAUGUACCACAAUUAUGAUACUUUUUUUCUUGUUACCUGUUAUCGUUGCUGUGAAUCCCUGAAUCUGAGAUAUAUUUAGGCUCUGAAAUGACAUCUAAUAAAUGACAUUGCAGUACUUUUUGAAGAAUGGGUGAAAUCAGUCCUCCAAGCUCGAAAAGCAGCAGAGCUUUUGGAAAACAGGAACGGGCUUUAUGUGCUGUACAUGGAUCGAGUUACUGGAUUAUUGACCAAACAAGUCGGCCAGAUUUCAUCACUCCCAAAAUUCAACCGUGAUAUUCUUGAUAAACUGUUCCUUUAAUAUCAUCUUCUCAUCUUAUCUUUCUCAGCGACGAUUAUAUAUAUAUAUAUACCCAUAUGCCUGAAAAUAUUUCCUGGGUAAUGAAAUUCUUUGAGUCUCUUGGCACCAAUUUUUUGUCAUAAAAUUGCAUAUAAAUUUAAUAAAAUCCUCCUCGUUUCUUCCGGGAAAUUAAUUCAAAAUGGUCCAUUAUGAUGACUCAGGUUCAUAGAAGCUAAACUUAUAUGAAAGGAGAUAUUAUUAGAUUACGCGCAUUGUAGUUAAACGUUUACAGGUGUUGUAUAAAAUCCUGGAGGCCAGGGUCAAAGAUGCCGCGUGCCUUUGACUAUUGCGUUGGCUGUUAUGCAAAUUGUAAUCUGGCCAGGCGCUAAGUUACGUUUACGCCCUCUCACAGCAACAGUACCAGGCUCCACCAGUGACACUGUUGCUGUGAGAGGCCCUCCCAUCUGUAAUCUGACUUUCCUCAUUCCUUUGACGUGUCUUCUCCUUUUCUUGCCGCCAGAAGUUUUGACUUUUGUUUCAUCGUGGGAAUAAUCUCUUUUACUGCUGGAUUGACACGGUGAACACUACGAGAGCAAGUGCUCAAACCUUAUAAAAGUAAUUAUGAGGGUUUAAUAAUUAAAUGGACAAUCUUCUCUAUUACAAAAUAUUUGAAGUUUUGGAAGCUUGAAAAUGAUAAGACAAAUAUCUACUCUCAAAUAUUUAAAAAAUAAAUUUUCAAUAAAAAUAAAAACUAAACCCUACACAUACACACAUUUAAUAAUAAUAAAUAAAAAAAAGGUAGUUGAACAUUUCAUAAGGGAUUAGUAUUUUUUUUUUUAUCUGAGCUACAAAUAAAUUAUUUUGUAUUUAUUACUUCUAUUUUCAAAAUAAUUCUUCCAAAUCUAGUAAUGAAAAUUGACCUAAAAAGAGCUAAAUUUUGAUGACGAAUCCGACCAUCCCACUCCCUUUUAUUAACCAAAAUUUAUACAAAACAAAACUUUGUUGCCACCUUGCAUCCCUUUCGAUUAACAAAUCCACCGCCCAAGUGGUAGUCAUCAAAAUCUUGACCAUCGAAUCAUAUCAUAUAAACUAUACAUAUAUGGCAAAUGCUAAGUCAGCACAAAAAUCAAAGUAAUAAGAAAAGCAUAUAUAUCAGUUUUGACAGGUAGCUUUCGGCUUCGUUGCUGUUUCCACGUGACUAGCUACCCCUUCCCAAUUUUUCGUAUAAAUUUCUUUGUUUCGCUUCGGUAAUUUACCACGUUCAAGCAAUCAAGCUAUAUAUAUUGUAAUAAUUCUCCGAACUUGAAGUUGAUUAAAAUGGCCAAGAAUAGUCGUGCAUUCACCAUUUUGCUCGUUUCACUUGUUGUCAUCUCUCAAUCUCUUUCAAUUAGUUCAGAUCAUGCAAGUGGUUUGACUGUGAUUCAAGCUCAACACAGCCAGCAGCAGCUGCUAGAGGCCAGACAGUUACUCAAGUCAUCUGAUCAUCACGAUCAGGAUCAGCCUCCGGCAAUGCAUUGGAUCCAGGAGAGAAAGAUUCAUAGUUCGCCCUUUGAUCCCAGGGAUCUGAAAAAGCUGAGAACUUACAUGAAGAAAAGGGCUACGACUUCUGCUGGACGCGGUUACAUUGCUACUCGGGGUCGCCGCCAUAGGUCGGCAGCUAUACAAACUAGUCAUAUCUCUUCUUUCCAAGUUGCUGCUGUACUGGCCUACUCUCUUCUAAUUGGUUUCUUUGUCCUCUAGAUGGCUUAAUGUAAUGACCAUGUACUUAAUUAGUGCUCUUAGUUAUAUAUUUAGUUUAAUUAGCUAGAAUAUAUAUAAAUCAAUAAUGUUUAUGCUUGAGUCUUUGAUAAUCUUAAUUUAACAAUCGAGUCUGUAGUUUGUUCAUUUGUCUCGAUUAGGGGUGCGUUUGAGAUUGCAGUAUUGUAACUUUUAAGAUACAAUUAUUGUAAAAAAAAAUUGUAACUAUGAAAUAAAAGUUAAUAAUAUAUAAUAAAUAUAAAUUUUAAAUAAUAAUUUUGAUAAAAUUAUUAAAGAUAUAGUAGAUUUUCUAUUAUACAAGUGAAAAAUUAUAUCAACAUAAUUUUUGAGUUACAACAGUAAAAAUUUACCAAAUAUUUUAUUACUGUAUCUUUUAAAGUAUAAAUAUCCAACCUCAAUCCCGAACAAAUCAAACACACCCUAGGUCCAUCACUCACUCUUGUCUUUCUGUGGGAGUUUUUGUUCAUCCUCUUAAAUCCUAUGCGUUUGUACUAAAAAACUGUAAUAUAAAUGUCAAUUUGAAUUGGCGAGUGUUUCUAGCCAUACUUUAUUACGAUAUUGUAAUCAUGUGUAUGGUGGCUUGUAUGGUAGUACUUUUGCUUCGAUACUAUAAUAUGCUUGCUUAAAUAUUAAUAUACAAUAGACAUUCAAUAAUUGCGGAAAGAAAAUAAUUUUUUAUAUUAAUUAUGUGUGUGCAUGUGGGUAAGUCAAACCACGCGCGGUGAAACAGAGUUGAAGCUGCUGAUUCUUUUUAGAUGCCACAUUACGUCCACCCGUCGCUGUGCCAGUGCUUGAAGUGUUGAAUUGACAAUGACUGGGAGCAGGCUAAGUUAUAAAUUGUGCUUUAGCCAGCUCCCAGACAAAAGCAGCAUUUGCUCCCUUUUUUUCUCCAUAUGCAGGACAGCUGUGGUGCAUGUAUUGGGUGCUGUAUGUUACACAAAUCUGUAACACAGUAACCUCCCAAUGACUCAAAUACCACAAAACUAGAGACUAAUACAAUUAAUAAUAAAAAAGAUUCCACGAUAUAUCCCAUCAAAUUUGUUCUUUAAUGCUCAUCAAUAACUAUUUGUUAAGUGAGAAACUUUUGGAUAAGGAAUUACUUUAUUAAAUCAACAAGAGGUUUCUUGAAAAAAAAUCUUUUAUUAAAUAAUGUUUCUUGUUAGAGUUAUCAAUUUUAUGAUUUUUAACUUUCUUUCUUCCCGUAUGGAAGCGGAGUCAGUAAAUUUCGGUAUUUAAGUAGCUAAAAAUGUUGGAUUCUUGCUUGUAAUCAUUAAAUCAGACUCGAAAAAAGUGGGUGAUCUCUCUUGCAAUAGGAAAGGGAGGAAGUCAGAAAUCUUUUGGAUGAUAGAAGCAAUUCGAGCUAAAUUAAAGAGCUUGAAUGGAUCUAAAAUUCAGCAUGUUCCAAGGCCUUGCAAUGUUACUGUUCAUUCUUUAGCAAAAAUAGCCUUAAAUUAUGAUGCUCCUGCUUUAUGGCUGGAAACGUUUCCAGCUGAAAUCAUGGUGUUUUUCUGGAGUUGAUCAAUAGAAAGCUGUACUUUCGCAUAUAAAAAAAGAAAAAAAGAAAAAAAAUCUGAUGACCUUUUCUUGUCUUCGUCUCAAAAACUCUUGUUCCCAAAUAAGCUAGGCAGACAGAAACAUGAUGUUGAAUCAAAUGUGAGAAAUUCAGCCGGGCUUGUAAAAUAAGGAUAAGAAAACUUAUCUAUGUCUUAUCACAUGCAGUUCUGUCCGCAAUUUUUUUCUUUUUUCUUUUUGGGUUAGUUACAUAAAGCUACUUUUGUUAAAUGUUAAAAUCAAAUUUUAUGUUCCGUUGAAUAGUAUGUGCACAAGAUAUUACUUUUUUAAAAUAUUAUUUAAUAGAAAAGAAUUCAUGUUUAAUUUUUUUUCCUUUUUUGAAAUUAAAGGAUGGGAUUAUGUAAAUAUUCUGUUUCCACUCUAUUAAGGAUCGAAAAAUUAUUCUCCUAUAAUCUACCUUCUUUUUUGGAUAACGGAAAAAAUCUUAGAUACUCUAAAAAUAUAAAUAUGAAAAAAAAGGAGUCAUUGUAACAAUACAACAAGAAUCUGGAACAAAAACAUCUUAUCUUCUUGGGAAAUUUACACCAAUAGCCAUAAAAAUUUACGCGUUUUUCAUCUUAACCACCCAAAUAAACUUCUAUCAACAUUAGCUAUAAAAAAGCCUUUGAGACCAAAAUACCCCUUUUCUCCCCCAACAAUCUCUCUUUCUCUCAUCUCUCCCAAACCGAAGAACCUCCCAUCGUCGGCGGCCAUCGCUGGGCAACAGCAGUGAUCUUCCUGACAAGGCUUGGCCUCAACCUAGAGAUCGUGAUCCUUGGAUGCCUGCGGAAGGCACGAAGAUGAAGACCAGACCAUGGCCUGGACGCUGGCCCUUGUAUGGGGUGAUGGAGAAGGUGAAAGAUGUUUCAAAUGAUCUAACGGUUGAUGAGUUUGUAUGUUUUAACGGUUGAUGAGUUUGUAACGGUUGAUCGUGAUCCUUAAGCAUCUGGUACACAUUGCCUGAUCGGACAACUAUUUUUGGUGCCUGUCGCACCAAGCUUCAGAAAACAGGUCGGCUUGUAUCGCAUCCUCUUUUCUGUCAUUGCUGAACCCUUUUGAGAUCAUUUAGCGCAACUGCAACUCUGUAAACAUGCAUUUGUUACAACUCUGUAAACAUGCAUUUGUUAUUCCAGAUAUUUGUGCAUGUAAUCUCUGGAGUUUAUACAGCAACAGAAAUACAUGCAAUCAGUCACUGUACCACCACCGUUUCCCGAUUGCUUGUGGACAAUAAAAUAUAUACAUCCAACAAGAAUUCAUAUGCAACACAUGGAUGCCUUAAUUGAAUAAGGAGCUCCAUCCAAUCCAUCUUCCUGCUGUUCAACUUUUACUUCAUCAAUGUAUGUUGGUCUGAGAAAUCCUUCAGUAGCUUCCGUGGCAUUCUUGUCCAGCUCUUUUACUUCACCAUGAUCUUUUUAUCUUUUUAUCGGACACCGAUGAGGGAUGAAGCCGCCGCCAAGGAGGGCUGAUGUUGCCGCCGGUGAUGGGAGUUUCUUCGGUUUGGGAGAAAUUGGUGAAAGAGAGUGUUGGGGGAGAGAUGAGAGAGAGGAGUAUUUUGGUCUCAAAAUUUAUUUUAUGGCUAAUGUUGAUAGAAAUUUAUUUGGGUGGUUAAGAUGGAAAACGUGUAAAUUUUUAUGGCUAUUGGUGUAAAUUUCCCUAUCUUCGUAGUGAGAGUUAAAUUCGUUAAAAGUGGCCACACGAUAGACUUUACCACAUCAUAUUUUUUAAAAAAAAAAUUUGACAUUUGUUCUAUUGUGUAUUUGAUUACUGGAAAAUAUUGGAGUGGUGUCUAGAAAGAGUACUGUGCCUUUUAAAGGAAAUCCAAUAAAAAGAAUCUGUAAUCUACUUUCCAAGUCAUGGAGAAAAAGUAUACAAGUAAUUAUUUAUUCGUCAUUUAUUUCUAAAAGGCAGUGGACAAGUGAAAGAAAAAGGGAUUGGGUUAACUUAGAUUCCUUGAAAAAGGAUUAAUGAAUCUCUUUAAUUUCACUCUCUUUUUCCCCCCUCCUUCUAGCUAGCAUAUUAUUACUUGUUUUAUUUGUUUGUGAAAGGAAUUAGCCAAGUAAUAACACGCUAGCUAGCAUAAUAUUUAUUAUUCGCCGAAAGCACUUGCUUACUACUACCGCCAGGCAUAUAUCCCUCAAUUAUUUUAAUCUAAUUUAGUUUGAAUCUUCAGAAAAAUUCAAAUUACUCGACAUUACUGGAUAAUUUGUCUUUGGAUUCUUAUUCAAUGAGCAUCUUAUGACACUUGAUCAUGCUAAUGCUAUAAUUACCUUUAUCACUUAGACCAAAGAAAAUUUUCCUGUAAAUGAUUCUUGUUUCUUAGAGUUUCUUAACGAUUAAACCCUAUAAAUGAACUUGAAAGCCAACUUUUUAUUAUACUAGAUUGCAAAAGACUGAUCAUUCACAGAACUUAAGGUUGAAAUCCUAAAACACCACAGCAUCCGUAGACAGUUGAUUUGCCAAUCGUUAAUGAAGGUAAAAAAGGAACUGGUCAGCAUCAAAAGAGUAACACUUGUUUGUUUUUUAUUCAUCAUUUGUUGCAAUGCUCUCUCGUCUUCUUCUUCUGAAAGCACUUUGAUUUCAAAAGGUGGUGAUUAUAGGCCCUUGGCGAAUGAUAAGCAACUCAUCAAGAGUACAAAUCUUUUUCUACUUAUUUUUUUUAUUUUUUUGUUUUUGAGGAAAAAAAAAUCUUUUUUCUACUUAAAGAAGCUCGCACUUCACUAUCUUUUCUUUUUCUAAUUAUCGUUCGUUUGCUUUCUCUAUGCAGUUGGGUACGGCGACAAAAUCUUGAAAUCGUAUGAAGUUGUAAAAAAAUCAAGAGCAAUUAAGGGAUUAAGUGAAGUACUUAACUUAGAGCCUAAAGUUUCAAAAGGAAAGGAAGGCAUAGGCAUCAAUAAUCGAUCAAAGAAAGCAAAUAAAGGAGGAGUUUACGGUGGUGGUGAUCUUCUUCGGCCAAGAAGCAAGAAAGGUGGAUGUUCCUCCUUAAGAUUGAACUUAUCUUCUUCAUUGGCUUCUAAGACUCUGGCACUUGGGCUACUCUUUUUUGUUUUCUUUUGAAUGCUUAUAUUAUUAUAUAUGUAAUCGAUCAUUUUGUCUUGGGAUUGAGAUAGAUGUUUGAACAAAACAUUUAACAUUGAACAUGUUUUGUUGCCAUUAUAUUCCAUAUAUUUGUUUAUAGUUUUAAUAUUCCAUUUUCAAAUAAUUUUUUUUUUUUUUUUUUUUUGUCUAUUACAAACUUACUGAUCUUUAAAUUGUCAAAGAAGGGAGUUUAGAAUGAUGGAGGGGUUCAAUAAAAAUUAAACUUAUCCUUUUGAGGUUCGCCAACAGCUCCACUGAUCACAUAUGCAAGUAGCAGGCCCAUUUUCAAUAUUUCACUUUAAGCCAUUUAUUUAUUAGAUAAGGGAAAACAAGAUACGGAUAAAAUUAAUUAAAAAAAUAAACUGUUUUUGAAAGUGGGCCUGCUAUAUGAUGGUUACAAAGUUCAUGUUCACCAUUACUGGGGAGGUGAUGGCGGGAGAGAGUUCACGAUAAGAGACAGAGAGAAAAGCAAAUGAGAGAGAGAAAGGGAUAUAAAUUUAUGAAGAGAAAGAGAAAACGGGUGCAAACAUUUUAGGAAUUUAAUGAAUAAGAAAUUAGGAUUAUUUUUAGAAUUAAAAUAGGGGCAUAUGAACUCUUUAAUUUUUAAAUAAUUUUGAUGAGGCAGAAACAAGAAAAGGAAUUUCGAAAGGUAUUUGGAGGAUGUUAAAUGUAAUUAAACAAACGAAAAUGAUAUUUAUCCUGGGUCAAAUCUCAAAACUUAUGCAAAUGAAGCCAUUUCAUCUUUUUUUUUUUCUUUUGCUUUAAUUCUCCCUAAAACGACGCCAUUUCAGCUCGGUUAAGGCAAAAGUAACGGCAGCUCCAACUGCUUUCUCUUCAUCUUCUUUUCACAACCAUUUGCGAUCCACAACUGGCAGCCACCAUCACGCAUACUCAGCCAUCGUCACCACCAUCACGGCAAUAUCGCUUCACAAAACAAAAGAACAAAUUCUUUGCAUCAACGGCUUUCUCAUAAACUUGACAAAUACAAAGAGUUAAUGAAGAAAUUUUGGCCUACACGCGCGAUACAGGGCAUCUAGAGAUGUAAUUAAUAGCUAGUCCAACAAAUUGCACGAUAGCCAAAAUUAACAAUUGCACAUGAGUAUAUAAUUCACCAAUAAACCCAAAACAAAGUUUCAUACAAACAUGAAAAUAGAAAUGAAUGACUGAUUAAGAAUAUACAACUAACUACUUUCCCUGAUAUAUAUAUAUAUAUAUAUAUAUAUAUAUAGAUUUUGCCAAUUCAAGUAAAAUUCAUGUUUCGAGAAUAAGCUCUGCCAAAGAAGAGAGUACUUAGCUAAUGGGGUACAGUGAAAUUUAUCCUAUUAUUAAUACACCUGUAAUAAAAAAUUAGAAUUUAAAAUAAUUCAACACAGUAUUGCUUCCAAACUAUUGUCAAUGAUGUAUAUGUUUAGAAUAUUUAAUGUUCCUUCGACUCUUUCGAUCUGCACAUUUUUUUAAAAUUCUUAAAUUAGUUAAUUUGGGUAGGUAUGUUUAAUAAAAUAAUAAUUUGAAUAUGUGUAUUUACUGGUCUGAAUUUUAUUGAAAUUUCCGUCACAAAACCUUCAAUUAUAAUAAUCGCAAUUUAAGCUGUAACUGCUAUGUACAAACUGGAGAUAUCAUUCGAAGAUACGUGGGUGGCCAUAGAGGCAUGCUAUGCUGAGCCAGUGAGCCACUGUCCACUAGUACCAAGCUCACAAGUUAAACUUGGGAGUUGGGGGAUCUUUUUAUUUAUAUGUAUUUAUAAUAAAAAGUUAUUUUUACCUCCGUUAAUUUUUAGAUGGAUCCGGCUACGGUACCAUUGCUUUUGUCUUUUGUGCCAGCUUUGUUGUAAAUUUAUAUUGAACCUCUUUUACUCAUUUUAUUUAAAUUUUCCCCCAUAACUAUUAAAUUAAUUUCUAUCGCAUCCAUAUAAACAUUUUAAUUAGCACCUUAUACUAUUUAUUAUUUACAAAUUAUUAUUCUAUAUCGCACAUGAUCAAAAUACCCUCUCUCUUUAUCACAAUACCCACGAACUCGACCCGGAUUCCGUUUCCAUUUCCGGCCACUCCACCGGCUAAGGUUGGUACCGAUCGGAAGCUCAUGCGAUGCCGGUCAUCUCCAUGCCAUCUUUGUCAUAAAAAGAACCGGUUCGACUCAAACCCUCGAACCCGACCCGGAUUCUGUUUCCUUUUCCGGCCAAGGUUGGUACCGAUAGGAAGCUCGUGCAACUCCGGCCAUCUCCAUGCCAUCCUUAUCACCGAAAAGCGUUCGGAAAGCUGCCGAUCGAAAUCGUGAAAAGUCGCGAAAUCGUCACUUCAAUUCGCAGCGAUUUCACCGGUUUCCGGUGACGCCACCACUUGGGUUUUGUUCCCCACAAUUUCCUCUGUCCUUUCCGACCAACCACAGCCAUCGGAUGAGCUGAUUUGCCGUUGAUCGGCCGUUGAAGGAUUCACGGCUUUGGGAGAAAUUAACUUAAUAUUGUGAAUGAAAGUUUAAAUAAAAAUGAGUAAAAGGGGUUCUAUGAAAAUUUACAACAAUGCUGGCACAAAAGACAAAAGCAGGGGUAGAUACCGUAGCUCAGUCCUUUUUAGAUACAAUUAAUGUUUUUUUCUUAUUAACUUGUGGGUACAGCUAAUAUUCUUUUAAAUUUUAAUUUUAUAAAGAUCCGAACGAGAUUCUAUUCAUAAUAACGAAAUCGAUAUUUUGAAAAUUAUAAAUUAUCCUUAAAGGAACGGUGGAGAGAAUCCAUACUUCAUUUUCAUAUCUAAUUCUCACCCAGCAUUCAAGAGGAGAAAUUCUAAAGUAUCUUUAUUUUAUUUUACUUAUUAUAAUUGUAUUAAAAAAUUAUAAUACAACAAAGGUGUUCUGAAGUCUCUCCGUUUAAUAUAAUUUUUUAAAGAGAAUUUGUUUAAAUAGAGCUUUCAUUAGUUGAAUUUUUACAAGUAGAGAUUUCACAAAAAAAAAUUAUUUGUUUAAGUGUCAAUGAGAGUUUUUAUUAAAAAAUUUAAAAAAUAAUAAUAUGAAAUAAAUAAAAUAAUAUCAUCAAAUAAGUAAAAAAUAUUUUAAAUAGUUUAACAUUCUAAAUAGAUUUUUUAGUCUCUACCCCCAAAAAUUCAAAAAUUAAGUUUUUAUUAAUAGAGAUAAAAUAACUUUUUUAAUUUUUAAAAACUCUACUAAAAAAAUCAAACAACAAUAAAAAAAAUUAAAAAAAAAACUUACGAAGUUAAAUACAUACCUAUAGCCAUCACUAAAUCCACACCCAACAUAUUUGUCAUUUUUCAUACUCAUCACCCAUCACUAUUCUUUGAAUUUUUCUUCAUUUUUUCCUAAUAAAAACCCCUACCGAGUCCAAAAUUAUUUAGAAAUAUCAAAACUCCUGGUAAACCGGGGAAAAAAAAUUCAACACAAAAACUCAUGAGAUUCACCCAAAGGGAGAAAUGCCCCAUAUUCCAAACAACCCAAAUAAUUUUCAAAGCAUCAGAAGUGGAGCAUCAAAUCCCUAUUUUUUAUUAUUUACUUUCUCUUCACCAUAAGACUAUAGACAUUCUGCCGGUAGACAAUUCAGCGUGCUGGUAAUCGGCUGGAAAACCGCUACUCUCAUGUUUUGUUCUUGUCGCUAAGAACCCUUCACCCCAAUUAUCCAUUUCUAUCAUCAAAGUUUCUAACUUUACGCCCUUUCUUUCUAAAUCAAUUACUUGCAUAAAUUGAAUAUAUUUUUCUCUGGAUAGUCAAUUCAAUAGAUUCAACUAUGAGCAUCACUAACAUUAAUCUAAACAAAAAGGCAAAAUAAUAGCUUUUUUCCGAAAAAUUAAUGAUCUUAACCAAUCAAACUUUUUAUUUUAAAACUUUUUAUUUUAAAAAGAAAACAAGAGAAACCGUUUUCUUUCAUGAGUUUCUAAACUAAUUGCUUAUGCAUGAUUGACUGCAGGUGUUUGAGAAGAUCAUGAGUAUGAGGAUCCAAAUAAAGCAGUCAUGUUUCGUAAAGCCUGCAGAAGAUACACCAAAAAAAAGCUUAUGGAUUUCUGAUUUGGAUCUAUUGGUGGCACGGACUCACUUCCCAACAGUGUAUUUCUAUAAGCCAAACAACAACGACGUUUCUUCAAAUUUUUUCGAAGCUCAAGUGCUGAAAGAAGCCCUAAGCAAAGCUCUCGUAUUAUUUUACCAUGUGGCUGGAAGAUUGGGAAUCAAUGAAAAUGGUAGAAUUGAGAUACAAUGCUGUUAGGAAAUUGAAUUUCCUCCUAAGAUCACUCCAAGCAAUUUAUCAAGCAACAAAUUAAUAAGAAAAUUAAAUGGAGAAUACACCAAUCAAAUAACACAAGAUUUACAUGGAAAACUCUAAAUCCAGAGAAAAAACCACGGCCGUUGUCACAAGACAACCAGAGAAAAAUAUUUACUAUGUGGAAAAUUAUUACAACCACUCUCAGAAAUAAUUUUCUCUCACCCAAGCCCCAAAUACAUAAUCCUGAGAAAUACCCCUUAACAAAACAAACUCGUAAUACCCAUAUUGAGGAGCCAAAUGGUCCUUCAAUAUAACUACAUGCUUAAGAAUAUUUCUCUUUCUCAAUUUCUCACCAAAACUUGGAUUCCUUCUCUGGGAUUUUUUUAGAUGCCAAGCUCUCAAAUGAGAGCUUCCUUUUAUAGGCAAGAUUUUGCCUAAAAUCAAGCCAAUUUUUCAACAUUCAAUAGCCACCAUUUCAAUAGUUUUGACCACUUCCAAUUGCUUAUCAAACUUCUCGACUAUCUCCAAAUUGAAUUCAAAUGAUAUCUUCUAAAUUGACUUUUCAACUCUUUUUUUUUUUUUUUUUAAUCAAUUUUCAACAAAUGCAACGGUGAAGGAGUUUUAUUUGUAGAGGCUGAGACAGACUUUGCUAUUGAUGACUUCAAAGACUUCACUCCCCGCUUGGAGUUUCAGAAGCUCGUUCCAAAUCCAGCUGUUGACCACUCUAGUAACAUCUCUUCUCAUCCGCUACUUGUUUUACAGGUACUUCCAAAUACACCAUUUACUGGUAAAUAUACUUAUGUACUCCUUAUAAGUAUACGGUUAAUCUCUAUAUUUUUUUAAAAAAUUUCAAGACUGCUGUUAAAGGGAAAAAAAAAUUAAUUUAUCAACUGAACACUAAAGAUAAAAAAAAAUUAAACAAAAUAUGUUUGUUAUUAUUAUUUUUUUAGGGUUAAUUUGGUAAGUUAAUUUUUUUUAAUCAAUAGCCCCAUGAUAUUGAAAGGUAAUUAUUUUAAAAGCUAAAGAAAAAAAGGGUAAAGUGUAAUAAUAUAUUAUUAACAACAUAGGUGUUUUGUCAUAUUUUUUUUUAAAUAUUAAAAUUGAACAAGUACUACUCUAAAAUAUAUAGAGACUAAAUAACCAUUAUCCUAAGUACUAUUGGUUCUAACCUCUGGUGUUGACGAAGAGCUAAGACUUCUUAAAACAUCAGGCCAAAUUAACUUUAAAAUAUAGUCUUUGUUUAAGUAUUUUCAUUUAAUUUGUAGUUGAUAAUUAAUUUAGUUAGUAAAAUAUUUUGAAUUGAUACAAAAGAUCUGUGGCUUAAACUUCACCCAUAUGGGUUACAAGGAGAUUUCAAUUGCCAUACUUGUUUUGCUUGAAAUGUAAAAAUAUUUUCAUUUAAUUUUUAGUCUAAUCUACUCAUUUAUAGUGAUUUCGGUGAUGAAAAUGUAAUGUCUGACCUAAUUUUUGUAUUUUUAUUUAAAGCCAUGAGAGCAAAUAAAAUUGGUUUUGAUUUUAUUUCGUUUAAAAAAAUACAACGUUUAGCAUAUAAAAACUGGAUUUAGUAUUUCAAUAUUCGUUAAGGUAAAUACUUGUUUAGCUCUUAUAAAUUUAAUUAAAUGUCCGUUUUUUUCUAUGUUUAAGAAAAUACCGGAAUGCACCUAUCUGUUAAAUAUGUUAUACUUUUAUCCUUAUUUUUUUCUUUUAUAAUAAUACCCUUAUAACGAUAUUCUUGCAUAUAUUAAUAAAAUAAUAAUUUAUUAAAUUAAUAUUUAAAAGUAACAUAAAAAUUUAUACAUAUACUUUUAUUAUUAUUUUACUUUUAUGAAUAAUUUGGUAAAUUAAUUUUUAAUAAAUUAAUUAUUAAUAAGAUUGUUACAAGGGUAUUAAAUAUUAUAUUAAGUUGACUGAUAUUAAUUUAUUUUUAAAUAAUUAUUAGCACGGAUGUUGUAUAGGUACAAUAAACAUUGGUCUUCUCACACUGGUAUUUAUUAGAUAGCUUAGCAAUAAAUAAUUAUUGGUUAAGUUGUUAAUCAUUUUUAUAAAUAAAUUAAUUAACAUCUAGAAUAUUAUUGUAAAUAGUAUUUUUGUAAAAGAAAAGAUAAAGGUAAAGGUAAAAAUGUAACAUUUUUAAUUAUAAAUUUUUUUAAAAAAAUACUUAAAUUAAAAUAUAGAGAUUAAAUAAGGAUUUAUUUUAUUUACUGUAUACACAGGUAACACAUUUUAAGCGUGAGUGAACUGCUCUAGGGGUAGGCUUGCAUCAUACGUUGGCGGAUGGUGUCUCGGCACUCCAUUUUAUCAACACAUGGGCAAGUAUUGCGCGCGGCGACACCACUAUCACCCCACCGUUUUUUGAUCGGACCUUACUCAAAGCCCACAUCCCGCCUUCUCCCAAAUUCCAUCACAUUGAAUACGAUCCCCCUCCAUUCCUGAAAAAUCCUACCUCGCCUUCAGAAUUUGAGAACAUUUCCACAGCUACAUUUGAUAUCACACGCGAACAACUUAAUACUCUGAAGGUCAAAUCAAAGAAAGAUGAUGAAACAGCAAACUUCACCACAUAUGAGGCCCUGGCUGCACAUAUAUGGCGUUGCGUGUCCAAGGCACGUUUGUCUCCCAGAUGAUCAGCCAACCAAGUUAUAUAUAGCAACUGACGGACGAUUUAGAAUAAAUCCUAAACUUCCACUUGGGUACUUCGGCAAUGCACUUUUCACUGCUACACCAGUUGCCUUACCAGGUGAUCUCCAAUCAGAACCGUUACCGAGCACUGUGAAGAGAAUUCAGAAAGCUUUAAAACAAAUGACCGACGAGUAUUUAAAGUCAGCUCUUGACUACUGAGAAGUGCAGUCUGACUUAACAUCACUUGUUCGAGGAGCAAGCACUUUUCGAAGUCCAAAUCUCAAUAUCAACAAUUGGAGGCGGUUGCCUCUGUCUGAUGCAGACUUUGGAUGGGGCCGACCCAUAUUUAUGGGGCCAGCUGUUGUUGUGUAUGAAGGAACAAUUUAUAUGCUGGCGAGUUCAAACAAUGAUGGUGGCUUGUUACUGAUCGUCCGGUUGGAGGCUGAUCACAUGCAACUCUUCGAGAAGUUUCUUUACGAAUUGCAAUAAAAGGAUUUGGCUUUUACUUUGGUCUGAACUUCUUUUUAAAAAAAUCUACGUGAUUAAUCAGUAUGAAUUGAUGUUUUACGGUGCUUUUAAGGAAUUUAAUGCCAGUUGAUAAAAGAUCCACCAAAAGUGGGUUCGAAUAUGGUGCAAAGGGGCCACUAGGCCCUUGAAGUGGUUGGCCCGCUCCUCUCACAAAUGUAAGGAUAACGGUUCAAGCUCUCCACAAAAAUAUUGUGAGGACUAAAUAUUUAUAAUUUUUUUUUUUUACGAAAUGUAAGUGGAGUAUGAAUAUUUUUCGCAUGUGAGGAUUAUUUGUUUGGAUAUGUAUUUUAUAAAAUUUAAUGUGACUAUAUAAGUUUCAGUUAUAUAUAUCUAAUUGUAACUAUCAGUAUAAUGUCUGUUAUAAUAGUAGUUAUAAAUAUUUGUAUAGUGCAAUACAGUAAUUUAGUACGUAACCAGUAUUAAAAAAAAAUAUGGUGCAAAGGGUGAGUAACUUCAAUAAAUUGUCUAUAUAUGAGAGUAAUUUAAUUAUUGGACAUUUUAGUAAUGAAAUUUUUUAUGAAAAAAUUAUGAGAAGGUUCUGGAGAGUAUUCUAGCAACUUCAAAUACAUAUCCCACCCUUAACCUAACUAAUGCUGCAACAAUUUUUUUGGGGAAAAAGAGUUCAAGGCUAAUGUGACAUUUAUUGUUAAUGACAAUGUGAGGAAGUUGUUUAUUUCUUAUUUCUUAUUAGCGUACUGUAAAUAUAAAUUGGAAAUAAGUUGUAAAAAAUAAACAAAUAAAAUUUUAAAAAUAUUUUAAACAAAAAAAAAUUCAGACUUCGUAUAUUUAACAAACAUGUCAUAAUUGGUGUAGGAAGAAAAGCAUGUUGAACCGCUAAUAUAUGUUGAUCUCUUGUAAGAAAAUGACCAACAUUUUCUGAAUUGGUAAGUUUCACUAAUUGCAUUAACCCGGCUUAGGGAUGACAAUGGGGUGGAGUGGAGGUGGGGAGGCCUACCCCAUUCCCCACCCCCAUUAAAAUUUUUUGCUUCCAUUCCACAACCCAUUCCCCAAUAAAUUUAGUGGGGUGGGCAUGACAAAUCCCCAUGUGGGGAAUGAUUUUCUCAUCCUCACCUCAUUCCCCAUUUACCUAUUUUAUAGUAUGUAUAAAUAUAUGAUUUCAGUAAAUUAAAAAUUAGAAACUUAAAAUAAAAUCAUCAUCAUAUUAUAAAGUACUUAAAUUAUUUUAAGAAAACUCUAAAAGUUUGAAACAAUAACUUAAAAUGAUAUCAAAACUGAAAAAUAUUUAAAGAGAACAGCACCUUAAAAAGAAAAGAAAACAUAAUAAUGUUUUCGAGUUGAAAAAUGAUUAUAUUGUUAGGUUUUCUUUUAUUCAUAUCAUGUUUAUAUUACAUAAAAAUAAAAAAAAUUAUUAAUUGACAUUAUAGUUGAUAAAAUAAAACAAUAUUAAAUAAGAAUUAAAAACAUAUUUAUAUAUAAUGGGAAUUAGGGUCGGGGUGGAGUGGAGAGUACAAAAUCAAACUCUACCCCGUUAAUAAUUUGGGGAUUAUUUUUUCCCAACUCCCCACUCCAUUCCCCUCCAAAUUAUUCAAAAAUUUCCCUAUUUGGGGUGGGGCUCUAUGGGCUCCAAACUCAUAGAGUAUUUUGCCAUCCCUAACUCGGCCUCAUCUCUCAGCGAAUUGUAUUGUAAUCCAAAUAACAAAAAGAAAAAAACAGAGCAACAUUGAUGACCAAUUGAAUUGGGGCAUUUAAAGAGCAAAUCUCACUAAAUAUCGAGUUCAAUAUAUGUGUCAAUGUUUUUAAAGGGUUACGUUUGUCAUUUCAUAAAGGCUAUAGUAUUUUUCUAGUCGGAGAUUUAUAAUUUUAUUAAAGUUAGAGAUAAAUUAAAAGAUAAAAAAACAGUGCAUUAGAGUCGAUUUUUUUUCUUUUAUCUUAUCCCUGAUUAGAAAAUUAUAUAUAAUCCUUAUUUAGUGUAAAUGUUCUCUUUUUUUUUUUAAUGCGAAUAAAUUAUUAAAUCAUAUAUUUUAAUAGAGUCAAUAUAAGUACCCUAUUAAACCAUGUGAGUUAAUAGUGUGUUUAUAUUUAAAAUUAUAAGAGUGUCCGCAUAUGAGAAUAAUUAUAUAAAUUUUGUUAAAUUGCAAUCAAUAUAACUUACAACCAAUGCAAAAUAUGGAAAAAAAUUAUAAGAUAGUGGUGGAGCCAUUGCCAUAUCAUAAGGAUGAUAGUAACUUAACAACACCCUAAUUAUACAGACAAAUGUAUAAACCUAGGGGUAGUUUCGUCAUUGUAGUGAAAGGAGUGCUUUGGUCAUUGCCAAAGUUCAAUCAGGCACUAUGCAUGCUCUUUUGCUGGAAAACAGAAAAAGUUCAAAUCUGUGGACGAGAAUCUUUACGAAUAUUUAUCACUUAGUCAUUGACUGCGGUGGAAAAGAAUCAUUAAAUUUUGUACAGAGGUGGUUGGUGUCUUGUGUGAAUUUGAUUCACGACACGGAUUGCAAGGUAGGUAUCUUGUGUGAAUGUGAUUCAUGAAACGUGUUCGUCAAAUCUGUGGACGAGAAUCUUUACGAAUAUUUUAUCACUUAGUCAUUGAUUGCGGUGGAAAAGAAUCAUUAAAUUUAGGACAAGGUCGGUAUCUUGUGUGAAUGUGAUUCAUGAAACGUGUUCGUCUGAUCAUUUUCUCACCGUUUUUUAAUUUGCUUUACGGUUUAGAUCUUCUUUUAGAAAUAUGAGUAAAGAUAUUCUAAUUGAAAAAAAAAAAGGAGAAAAAAAGAUCCGGAAGAUCUGCAUGAUUUAAAGAUGCAGACAUGUUCCAAUCACGUGUCCUUUUCAGGAUUUAAAACUUUUACAACUGUCUAUCUAUCACGUGGUCAUAGAUUGUGGUGGAGAAGGAACAUAAAUCUAGCGUAAGUUGCAUGGAACUUGUUUCGUCCAUUCAUUUGUUGCGGUCUUCUAAACGUCUUUAAAGUUCAGAUCUGAAUUAUUUAAGUCCUAAGGACGUACGUGUGUUGGCCAUCCAUUUUCCAAUCUCCUAUCCUUUUCACUUUUUCAGGAUUGCAACUUGUGCCGGGAGCUUGUUACGGUACAUUCGCUGUUAGGUACACAGUCACAUGCGCAGGAGAGAGAAAUUACUUUCCAAAAUGCACCCUUGGAGGGGAUGGCUGAGGUGCAGCUGUUAGGUACAGCGUCUGUAUUUAAAUAAAAAAUAGUGUAAAGAAUAUAUUAAAAUUUUGUAAUAAUUGAAUAAAUAUAAAAUAAAAAAAAAUAUGGUGCAAUAAUAAUUUUUUUAUUUAUAUUAUAUGAUGUUAAAUAUUUAAAUAGUGUCAAAUUUCGUUCACUCUACUUUUAACAAUUGGGCAAUUAACUAUUUUAACAAAAAUAAUUUUGUUGGUCCAAGAACUUUCCAAUGGUAAAUUAUAAUUGUAAUUUAAAGACAAAAACGAAAAAGUCGAGGACGAUGUGUCACAUCAGUAGUGACAGGCUUAAUGAUCAAAACCGUAAGUUAUGUGAAGUCAUCGGAAUGGGCCCAAGUCAUGCAACAUCAAGCCAUCAUUACAGAUCACACGUAUCAACCUCGGCUCCGGCCUUGAUGCAUUAGUCCAUGGUCCUGCUAUGUUACAACUGUACUUUCAGCCAUUGAAUCCAAUCAAUGUAAUUGUGCGACUAUAGAUUCAGUACUACAGUUGCAACAUAAUUUUACCCUAAAUACAGAGCAGUUUUGCUAGAUGCUCAUUAUUAUAAUUAUUUUAUAUUCAACCACAUACAUUUAGUGCCUGUUUGGUAUGGCUUAUUUAAGAGCCAUAAGUGCUUAUUUAAUCGCAUAAGCACUUUUUAAAAAUUUUUAUGGUGUUUGGUUAUUUUUUAAGUAGAGUUUUUUUAGCUUAAAUAAGCUAAUUUACCUCUACUAGCAAAAGCCCAAAAUUUGAGCUUUUGGAAGUAGAGGUUAGAGAGCUUUUCCAAAAAAUAUAGAAUAUAAAAAAUAUCACACAUUUUAAUGGUUUAAAAGUGCUUUUUUUAUUGACAACCAAACACCCAAUGACUUUUUAUCCAAAAGCUCUAUUGGUAUAAGCACUACUGAUAUAAGCUCUACUGUUAUAAGCUCUAUUUAAUAAGCUGUACCAAACGGAGCCUUAAUAGUUUUGGAGGCUGCUCUAUAGUGAAAUUACUCCAACAUAGCAGCUACCUUAAUUAUGAUGUUCAUUAUAUAUUUUGGUGGUUCUUGAUAGUUUAAUGAGUGUUUACUUAUGGAGAAUAAGAAUGAUUGAUAUAUUUACUUGUUUAAACAAGUAGUGGAAUGAGAAUAAAAGUGGUAAGUCCCACCUACAACUGAGAAUAAUUAUUAUAAUUUUCAUUCUCAUGAGAGAGGUGUGAAUGAGAUACUCAUUUUCUUAAAAUGAUCAUAUUAUUUCCACUUAAAUCUUAAAAUUUUAAAUUUAUCCUUUCUUAUAUUAUUAUUAUUAUUAUUAUUAUUAUGAAAAAUUAUUGUUGAUGAUAAUAAUAAUUACUAUUAUUAAUGUCGUAAUAAUAAUAAUAAUAAUCAUAAUAACAACAACAACAAUAAUAAUUGUUAUUGUUGUUAUUAUUAGGAGUAAUUAUAAGUAUUAAUUAUAAUAAUAAUAACAAUAAGAAUAACAAUUACUAUUAUUAAAAUAAGGAUUAUAAACAACAACAACAACAACAACAAUGAUGAUGAUGAUAAUAAUAAUAAUAAUAAUUGACAAUAAUAAACUAAUGUCAGUUUAGUAAUUUGUAACUAAUCAUUCUGAUUUCAAGAUAAAGUAGACACAUCAAUAACAAUACAAUUUAUUCCAAUUUCGAUUCUCAUAGCUAAAGUACAUAAUUUGUUUUGAUUCACAUUUCUCAUUCCGAUUAUAGUCUAUUCUAAUUACUGAUUAGUAAACUCACCAUAAAUUUUGCUGUUAAUAAUUAAAAAUAAAAAUCAGUUCAAUGCAUAAGUGGCAUAUCACCCGCGACUAAUGUGUAGUAAUACAUGAGGCCGAAAAUUAUAAAAAGUUGAGCGCUUAACGUUAGAUUGAAAUCUAAAUAAAUUAUACCUAACUUAAAAUUAAUAAAAAAAUCAACUCACAUUGAAUUUAAAUCCAAUUAAAUUACAUUAAAAAUAUUAAUUAUAUAUUAUCAUAUAGCAAACGGUCGUAACCUGUUGCCAAGCGGGUAACCCAGCUUUUUGUCCGUUCGUGAAAUAGCCAUUAGAUUAAAUUGAGCCUACAAUGAAGAGGCGCAAUAUAAGCAAUUGACAAGCAGGACAUGUAAUUCGCAAAUCAGCUUUAGUUAAACAAUUAAAUCGGUUAUAGCAGGGUAACAACUUUUUUUUUUUAAAAGAAAGGAUGCCUUUCAUUACUCAUUACAAGAGCAAAUACACAACAUCCUCUGAAAAUUCAUCUAGCCAUACAAAAGAAUCUACCUUCCUAGAGGUUAAUUUAGCUAAGGAGUGAGCUAAUGUAUUACAAUUCCAGAGAACAUGUUGAGCUUUGAAAUUCUGAAAAGGAAUGUUCCUCUUUUAUAAGCUAUUAACUUAAAUAAGCAUUUAGAUUAGUCGAGAAUAUGACCCAAAUGGACUUCAGGUUUUUUCCUAGGUGGCUGCCAUCAUGGCAUCAUUUGCUAUGGAAGCCACCUAGAAAUUUUCCAGAGUCUGCUUAGGAUCUUUUAAAUUCUCUUUUAUAGGUAAUCUUAAAAUUUCCGUUCCUCAUCACUAUUAGUUCUUAUGUGCAUUUUUGAGUUUAUUCUAAGUGGAUUCUGACCCUCUUUUUUGGUGGCCAAUUUGCCACUCUGCCUAUUUUUUAGCUUUCCUGCGCAGACAAUUUUGCCUUUAAUUUUUAGUUUUCCAUAGUUUCUACUUCCUUCCGAAAUUAGCAUAUAACAUUAUGAAAUUUGAAAAUAACUGAAAAGUAAAUGAGGAAAUGUAAAAAUUAGAUGCAUAAAGAUAAUCGUUAGUUGUAUAUCAUGUUAAUCCAUGUUGGCAUAAUACUCAUUUAUUUAUGUCCCAUCAAGAGGCGAAUGUUUGGGUUUUCCUAAGCCUUAUACGUGUGUAAGUCAAGUAAAGUCAGGUAUGACAUAAGAAAAUGGAAAACAAACAAUGUUAGUAUCUUACGUGUGGAAUCACAAUUGUUAGAUUAGAACAUAGAGUUAUGUUGAUCCACGUCGACAUAAUACCCUUCAUACAUCUCUCUGGAUAAGGUGAAUACUUGGAUUUUCCUUAGCCUUACUCGUGGAAAAAUAAAGGAGUAUCACGGAAUAAAUAAAAUGGUAGCAAUGUAAAUAAGUCAACACAGCUGCUAGGAAUGAGCGUAAUAAAAAGGAAAAUGAAGAAAACAUAAAAUAAAUAAUAAAUUAGUCUUAGGUUUGACCGUGGAGAUUGUUUUAAACCCUUUCGACUAUUGUUGAUUUUUUUAUUUUUGGUCAAAGUUUUAUGUUGACCAAAUGAAUCCUUCAUCUUCUUUAUUCGUUCUCUUUUUUUUUUUUCCAGCAAGACAUUUGAAGGAGAAACCUCCAUUUUUACUUUUGGAUUUUUGGUUUUUUGCCUUUUUAAGCAUGUUUGAGGUUGGGGUCUCAUACUUGAAAAAGACACUCCGCGCCCAAGUUUGUAUUUGAUCACGAUUAAACAAAGAAAAAAAAUAGAGAAAAUGAGUUUUCUCUCUCUAAGUAUGAACAAUGAUUUUGGAGGCCAAAGACCUCUUUUUUCUUAGAGAUGGAUCUUCAUUUAUAGAUGAUGAGUGAUGUGGAUUUAUGAUUUUGCUUUGAACCAUCAAUCUAAUGACAUGUGUCACACAUCAUUCUCAUACACGUGGAGGUGAAUAUUAUCUAGGGAAUUAUUUUGGCCUUGUGUGUUUCCUUACUCGUAUAAUCUUUGGACAUGAUUUCCUUAGACUAAUAGAUUGCGGAACUAAUUUCCCCCUUUUUCUAUUUUUAUAAGUUUCGAAAGAAUUUUUCCUUAGGUGUUAUUUUUCCGGAAUAAUUUGAGUGUUAUUUACCCCGAAAUAACUUGGGUGUUAUUUACCCGCAAUAUUUUCUACUAUCUGAUAAGAUGACAUAUGGCACCUACAUCUCUAAUUAGAAAACGAAAAAUUUUCACAGUUCUUUAUUUUCUUUUAGAAAAAUCCUUGUAUUCUUGGUAUUCCUUCAAAUUAAAGUUAAAAUGAUAGAUGAAAGGCGGAGAAUGGAAGGCAAAAGACAAAGAAAAAUUUAGUCAUAAUGUGUUAAAACGACAAAUAUGCUAUUGAGAACAAAUCUACUCAAAUUCCUAAUUGGCCAGGGCUGCUGCCCUCCAACUUGGAGGGCAGCAGUUCGAACCCCCACAAAAGCAUUGUGGGGGUAUUUCCUUCUUCAAUUAAUUUGAGUGAAGGUAGUCUUCUCCCUUACCCAUGAGUGAGGAGUAGACAUUCCUCGAAUAUUUGUGAGGGUUAAAAUCUGGGCAGAGCUCCAUUAGUAUUGAUGUCAGUUGGUCCCAAUAAUAGUCUGAUUUGUAAAUAUCAAUAAUAGUCUCAUGUAUAUGAGUUGUAAUCUGAGCAAUAGUCUCAUGUAAUCAAAAAAAAAAAAAAAAAAAAAAUCGUGAGCCAACUUUGAGUGUUCUAAUCCUAUAUACAAACUAGCAGGAUAAAUAAAAAUAUAUAUUUAUAAGGUUGUUUCAGAGCCAUGGAAAUGAUGGAGGUCACAUCGUUAUUUGCUUACACAUAUCAAUUGGUGUAAGAGUAGUACUUGAUAAAAUAUCUCGGGACGGACUCUUAUUUUCUUUCUUAAACAAGCAAGUAAAUAUGGAAGUGUGAGAACUCCGAACUCACUUCCUACUUCCACUGUAAACACCACAUAAGUGUUAUUUCAUCUUUCGUAAUUUCUUAUUUCUGGUACUUAAUUCACUUUUCUCUAUUUAUUAGGUCUGGAUCCGCAAUAUCCGCACCCGGCCCGUUUUCGCAUGAUAUUGUGCAUUAUUAAAUUUAAAAAAAGUCGGAUGCAGAUCAGCAUCUGAUAUUUGCCACGUAUUUAGAUCCAUAUUCUAAUUAUUUUGAGAAAACAAGAAAAAAACUAAAACAGACGAGAGAGUCCGUAUGUCCAUUAUUAAAUUUAAAAAACGUCGGAUGCAGAUCAGCAUCUGAUUUUUGCAACGGAUUCGGAUCCACUUUUUAAUUAUUAAAAAAAAAAGGAAAAGACAAAAACAGACCUGGGAGUUAGAAGCCUAUACGUUUUUAUAACCCUUUUUUUUUUUAAUUUCAAAGAAAUCCCUAAACGCAACCCGCAGACACAACACACGAAAGCGCCACAACAGAGAAGAUUAACCGCCGUCUGUCGCUGCCGUUCUAAUCAGCCAAGUCGCCACGGCUAGCACAAUGGAAAUUCAUGUACAGAAGUCAACAAUGAUACGGCCUGCCCAAGAAACGCCCAAGCAACGCCUACGAAAUUCUGUCUUGGACUUGAUUGCGCCAUCCAAUUACGUCCCCCUGGUAUUCUUUUAUCGACGGCCAAAUUAUUCUUCCCCUAAUUUCUUUGAUGCUGGUUUGCUGAAGGAGGCUCUGAAAAAGAUUCUUGUGCCGUUUCACCCCGUGGCUGGAAGGUUGCCCAGUGACGAAAGUGGUAGAACCGAAAUACUAUGUAACGGAGAGGGGGUUUUGUUUGUGGAGGCGGAAACAAGUUGCGUUAUUGAUGAUUUUGGUGACUUCGCGGAAGGCUCUAAGCUUUUGCCGUUGCUUCCAACUUUUGAUGACACGAAAGAUAAUUCUUCUUAUCCACUCAUGAUGACGCAGGUACGACGAAUAUUUAAUCCCCUGAUCAAUUGAUUCAUGAGACUUGGUUUUAUUAAGUAAUGCUGUGCUGUGUGUGUUGAGUAGGUAACUCGUUUCAAAUGCGGAGGCGUUUGUCUUGCGACUAGAUUUCAUCAUAUUUUAGCAGAUGGAGCUUCAACGUACCAUUUCGUCAACUCAUGGGCUGAGAUGACACGUAGUGUUCCUAUUAGCAUUCUACCUUUCUUUGAUCGAACCGUACUAGAUUUUGGGGUUCCAAAUUCUCCUAGAUUCCAUCACAUUGAAUACGACCCACCUCCUUCAAUGAAUACUCCUACUCAAAAUUCCGAAUCCAUUUGUACCGCAAUCCUGAAUCUGUCACUUGAGCAAAUCAAGAUUCUCAAGGAAAAAUCUAAAGAAAAUCGUGGAUCCACAUUCGAGUACACUAGACUUGAGGUCCUGGCAGCACAUAUUUGGCGAUGCGUAUGUAAAGCACGUGAAUUGUCUGAUGAUCAAGCCAGCAAGUUACACUUUCCUACAAAUGGACGUUCUAAAUUGAAUCCUCCACUCCCAUCCGGGUAUUUCGGAAAUGUAGUCUUCACCACUGCAUUGAUCGCCUUAUCAGGUAAUAUCCUAUCAGAACCCCUGAAUUAUACAGUAGAGCGAAUCCAUAGAGCAUUAGAGCGGAUGAAUGACGAGUAUUUGAAAUCAGCUCUUGCUUAUCUACGUCAACAACCUGAUCCCACAGUUCUAAGAAGAGGAGCUCACACGUAUAAGUGCCCUAAUUUUAAUAUAGUAUAUUUAGCAAACAUGCCUAUUUAUGAUGCAAAUUUCGGGUGGGGGCCGCCAAUGUUUUCAAGGUUGGUUAAUACAUAUUUCGAAGGGGUAGCGCAUAUUUAUCCAAGUCCAAGCAAUGAUGGGAGCUUGACAGUGUUUAUAAACUUGGAAACCCAUCACGUGCAGCCCUUCAAGAAGUUGUUUUAUGAGAUCUUUCAGCACCCCAAGAAUGCAAGAUCUAGAUAUUGAUAUGUCAGUGAUCAAUCAAUGUGAUAAACCAAGUCUGAGAGAAAAUGAUCAAGGGAUCCCUGGUUCGGGUGACUCAACUAGCUGUUGAUGGCUGUAGAUAUUGUGUGUCUUCGGCUCAUUAUGGUUUUGACCUUCCACUUUUGUCAUCCUUGAUAAAAGUUUUUUUCUUUUUUAAUUUCAUAUUUUGUUAGCUCUUUAAUUAGUAAUAUAUUAUUAGUCAUGUACACAGAAUGAGAUUGUUUUCUUCUUUAAUAUAAUAGCUCACUACGCGAUACCAUUACCAAAAGUUCCUAUAACAACUCGAUCUUCCAGCUACCAUACCCUCAAGAACUUUAGAGUAUGUUGGGAAUAGUCAACUAGCCAAACAAAAACGCUAAAGUCCCUUGCAUUAUAAUUCAGAUGUUAUUAAGAGAUUUUUUUUUUUUUUAAUUUUCAUGACAUCUUUGAUAUAUUUUAGAAUUUCUCCCAUAUGAAAUUUUAAUUUUUUUUUAAAACAAUUGUUAGAUUCGUUGAAUAGGCAUUGUGUUUAACACUUAUUUAAAAAAAAUCCAAAUAUUAUUCUCGGUAAUGAAAAUGUGACACAUUUACAAACCCAACAACUUUGGAAAAUCAAAAUGAAGUAACGAGUAGAUAGAUAAACAGUAUCAAAGCCGAAGGACCAAAGAAGGAACCUAGCCACUUUACAAAAUGAAAAAAUGAAACUACCUGGAGUCGUAUCAUUAAGCCAAAUAUGCGACAUUAUGCAAUGAUAUUUUAGCCCCUCACAUAGUUACACAAUGGGGCGAGGUACACCAUAAACUUUCUCUAUUAGAAACACCAUAAACUUACAAACAGAAAAAAAAAAAAAAGUUGAUGGUGGAAGAGAGUUCACGACAAAAGAGAAAUAGAGAGAAGUAAGCAAAUGAGAGAGAGAAAGAGAUAUAAACUUAUCAAGAGAAAGAGAAGAUAGGUGCAAACAUUUUAGGUAUUUAUUGAAUAAGAAAUUAGGACUAUUUUUAGAAUUAAAAUAGGGGUAUAAGAACAUUUUAAUUUUUAAAUAAUUUUAAUGGGGCAGAAAGAAGAAAAGGAAUUUCAAGAGGUAUUUGGAGGGCGUCAAUAAUCCAAUUAACGUGAUUAACUAAAAUGGCCCACUUUCAUUAUUUCAUCACCAAUAUCUAAAAAAAAAAAAAUUACAACAGAAUUUAUUGUUCUUAAUUAGAGAUGGCUAAUGGGCCACGCGACAUAUGGCAUGGCACAUGCACGGUAUAUGUCGGUACAACAUAUCACGAUAUGAACACAUUUUGAUAGGACACGCAACACAACAUGACACACAUGCAUGCUGGGCUGAGUUAAAAAUUUUAAGCAUGUGAACCUUAAAAGUACGACAUAAUUAAAGACGUACUAAAACAAGACAUGUAAAAAAAUUCGCAAUAAGCACGUUUCACUAGUUGAUUAGCACGUGGCCUAUGGGUCAUCAAUUGCAUGCAAGUCAAAGUAUAAAGUAAAACUUUUUUAAUGAAAAUAAAUUUAAAAUUCUAUGGUUUUACAUAUAACUUGAAAUUGAAUCUUUUAUAUAUUUUAUUAGCUUAAGUUUUUUAAAUUCAAUUAAAUCUUAGUUUAAAAAAAUAUUUUGAUUGUUUUAUAUUUAUAAUUUAAUAAAUGAAUAGAUGAUAUCAUGAUUUUAAUAAAUAAAGUUAUAAAUACCAUGGUUUUAUAAAUGUAUGCAUUGAUACUAUUAUAGACUAUGACCUAUGACUGAAUGUAAGAUCAAGUUAAAAAUUAAGUUAAACUUUAAGAAUUUUUUUUUAUUAUUGUUGUUAUUGUUGUUAAAUAUUAAAAAAAGAAUUAUAAUACCAUAGGGUCUAAUUUAGCUAUUAGUAUUACAUUCUCUUAUUAUUUUUAGUUUAUUAUUAUUGAAUAUGAACUUGAGUUUUAAACUUUUUAUUCUAUAAAUUUGAAUAAGGACAUGUGGACCCAAAAAAAUACAUAGUUUUGAAAUAAGUACGUUAAUAGCUUAGCAUGUUUUCUUAAAAAAAAUAAUAAAAGAAAAAGCUUAUCGUGUUUUUUUUUAGGGCAAAACCCAUGAUAUAGCUCGGCAGGGCACAGAUGGGCUCAGUACAUGUGUUUGGUUGGGCCUAAGUAAAAAAAAAAAAAAGUACCGCAUGACACGGCACAAGCACAAACUUACAUGGACCUUCUUUUAACGACUGGUACGAUCCAUUGGCCAUCUCUAUUCUUAAUCCCUUCUGACUUCAAAAUUAAAAUUCCACGGAAGAAUGAUUGGAAAAAGGACGUCAAAGAUGGUGCAAUUAAAUUUCGUUGCUCCACUUAGUUGAUGAUAUGCUAAAUGUUUAUCAGUUUUGACAGUAAAUUUGGCGAUUUUCAGUGGAAUUUUGACGAUCUUUUUACAAUAUUAUGAUUAAUAAUUAUUAGAUAAGAAAUGUAAAACAUUUAACUUUAUCGGGGCCAAAGUAAAACAUUCUCAAUAUAUUAGGCUCAAAGUAUAAAUAUAGCUUAUAUAAAUAUAUCUUUAUUUUUGGGCCUACAGUCCAUAGAGUAGAAAUAUGAAUUUCAACACAUUAGUCGAUUACUAUCCCCCUUGGUUUAAUUUCAUACACAUUAUCCCAACCAUUAGAUUUAUAUCGUCUAAUCCAACGAGCCAGAACAGCUUUACUAUUAGUUACAAAAUCUGUAACAUAGUCGGGUCCAUUUUUAAUAUGACUUAUGAUACCAUAGCUACAAGGUGGUUGGGCCAGAAAUAACGGAUGAUAAUAAGUACACGUGUUGAAUCUCUCAUUUAACGUCAUCGAUCGACAAAUUGUUCAAUCUCUUAUUUUAAGUUCAUCAACAAAUUGUUCUGGUAGUUACCAUUUCUCAUAGCUUUGUAAGCUUGAAUAUGACCGGUAUGUUCUUUACUUCUUUAUUUUCCUGUUUUUAUCUGUUAAAACCAUGUUCAUACCUUUCUUAAGGUUUGCUCAAUUGAUAUGGAUAGAUAAUUAAAGUAAUUAAUCAGUAAAGUUCUUGGGCUAAAUAUGGAUAACCUGGGUUCCAAGCUCACUAUUAUUAAAAAUUGAAUUAAAAGAAAAAAAAAUUUGAUGUAGCGGCCUAGUUGCCACUUUCAUAUCUUCGUUCAUAAAUAAAUAAAGUUAAAUAAUUUGUCAAAGGGUGGAGUUAUUUUGAAUUCAUGACAGUAGUUUAGUAAAUUUUAUCUAUGAACUCCUACAAUGCCUAUUCAGCGGUGGCCACCAGCUUUCAAGUGAAGAUUAUUCAAUUAUUAUGCCAACAAUUGAUAAUAUAUAUGACAAUCUCCUGAUAACUUUGGCAUGAGUUAAGAAAGAAAUUGAUCAUCAGUAGUUAUAUGAGAAAAAAAAAAAAAGGAAAAAGUAAAAAAAAGACAACAUUUCUUUAAGUAAAAGUCAGAAAUAACUUUAUCAUUGAGAAUGUGGGGUCGUUUUUUUAACUAAUGAAUUAAUUGACUUAAUUUUAAUCAGUUAAAGUAUUAAGUCCGUUUAUUUUUUCAACUUAAUAAAAAUUUUCAGUUUUAGCUUUUUGCUUAAUCUAAAAAAUCUUAAUAAUAUCGUUAAAAAAAUUCUCCAAAAUAUCCUUAUCUAAUUAAUUAAUUUUUAAUCCUUACGUGAAUUAAAUUUAAUAUUAGCAUUAUUACCCAUCUCUAUAUAGCUUGUGAUAAUAUGUAGUGGUAAACUCUAAUUAUUUUUAUCUUUUUAUUUUCUUCACAUUAUCAUUAUUUAUCUUCAUAAUUUUUUAUGAAUAAUUUUCAUAUAAAAAUAUCAUAAACUAUAAUAAAAUUGAUUCACAUUGAAUAUGAUUUACUGUUAUGACAAUUUAUUAUCUUAUUUAUAUUCCUUGAGAUUUUAUUGUUUGGUAACAUUUAUAGUUUGUAAGGGCAUAAAUGGAAAAAUAUUAGUUUUCAGAAUUUUUAAGCUAAAAAACAAACAACUUAAUAUUUAUUUUUAUCGAUUCAGACAAAAAAAAAAUAUCAUUCAUAUUCAAACAUUUAACUCUAUUCAGAAUUUAAACUAAUUCAGAUCUAUUCAGAUUUCAGACAAAAAAAAAAAACAAACACUACCUGCAUCUAUAACAAAAACAUAAAAAUUUGUAGUACAUCCUAUUACAAAUAUUUAAGCCCAAAUAUUUUACAUAGCACCACAAGUCUAAAGUUCCAAAAUAAGAACACAUUUCCAAUGUUUCAAAAUGAUGUACUUACUUGACAAAACACAAUUCCAAUUUCCAAAAUGAUAGAAGACUAUAUCUCAUGAAUCACGACAAAUUUUUCAAAGGAUUUAUCCCUUUUUUCAGCUCAUUGGCCAAGUUGAAGAACCCACGUAGCACAUCAUGUUUGGUGGCCAUAAUAUCAAUCGCAUCAAAUAUUUCUUUCUCACUUAAGCAAACAAUCUUACGCAUUUUAUCAUACAACUUAACUUGUAAAUCAGAUAACUGUUUAUCAGCAAUAGAAAGUACACUAAUCAACCCAUCUAAUUUGCAUACUAUGGCUGAAAUGGACUCCACCGUUGCUCCUAUUUUUAAGCACGUAUUGUGAAAUGUUUUGUCCUUGGUUCUCCUUUUCGCUUUUGGGUGGUUGGAAUUAUUUGGAGCACUUUCAUUUUCAUUAGCAAGUGCUUGUGAAUUUGAGAAUAUAUAUAUGCGAAUAUAGAUAAUAUUAACAUUCAAAACUAUUAGAUGAGAAAACAAAGAGUGACAAAAGAGUUACAAAGUUAAAUCUAUCGAGCCCAUAACAGAUCAUACAAGUAAAUAAGUAAUUUUCAUUUCUUUAUAAUGGAACCUCUACAAAGUGAGGUGAGAAAAUUUAUUAACUAAAAGAAAGUGAAAAUAGUACAAGAGAGAAGAAAGAGCAAAUGCCAUUAGCUAUGAAAAGACAUAUAGGCAAGAACUAAAGAGUUACAAAGCUAAAGUUAUUGAGGCUGGACAUAAACCGAGCCCAUAACAGGUCUCAUAUAUAAGCAAAAUAGUAAAUAAACUAAGAAGUUAUUACAUUUAAAAUUUAAUAUAAAUAUAAAAUUAUGAUAAUUAUUAGUUAAAUAAACUAAAAAGUUAUUACAUGAAGUUCCCAUUUACCAAGUAUAUCCAGGUUUCUGCUCAAUCAUCUCUAAUUAGAAAACGAAAAUAUUCCACAAUUCUUUAUUUUCGUUAUAAAAAAAAUUCUCGUAUUCUUAGUAUUCCUUCAAAUUAGAGCUAAAAUGACAGAUGAAAGUCAGAGAAUAUAAGGCAAAAGAAGAAGAAAAGGUUGGUCAUAAUGUGUUAAAACGACAAAUAUGCUUUUGAGAACAAAUCUACUCAAAUUCCUAUCUUUUUUUUUUUUGAUACAUUGAUAUAUUAUAAUCAGAACUCUACUGAUAUUUAAAAUCAGAAAUCAGUCGGAAUUCUUUUGAAUAAUCAUGUUGAAGCACAGCCCGAAUACCAACGAUUCGUUUAAGGAAUGUCUGUCCUCACUAUUAAUACUAAAGAGAAAUUGAUUAUAUCCGACAUGAAAAAAUUAUUCAACCCCUAUUAUGCAGGGGAGUCAAGUCCCAACACUCUGCGAGCGCUGGGACUUGAACCCAUAGCCCACUGGCACUCAAAUUCCUAUUUACUCAUACUCCAAUUGAUAGGUGUAAGCAAGUAACUAUGUGACCUCGAUCAUUGCAAUGACUCUUUAACAACCCUAUAAAUAUAUAUUUUUAGUUGGCUCAAGAUUUCAGAACCCUCAAUCAGUGAUGGUUGGCUCAAGAUUUCAGAAGAAUCCUCUCACUUCCAUAUUUACUUCCUUGUUCAAGAAAGAAAAUAAGAGUCCCUGUUCACAAGUGUUAUUUCAUCUUCUUAAUUUCUUAUUUCUAGUAUUUACUUCAUUUUUCUCUAUUCAUUAGGUCUGGAUCCGCGAAAUCAGCACCCGGCCAUGACAUGUGCAUUAUUAAAUUUUAAAAAAGUCGGAUGCAGAUCAGCAUCUGAUAUUUGCCACGUAUUCGGAUCCAUUUUUUAAUUAUUAAAAAAAAAAGAAAAGACAAAAAAAGAAUUUUUUAUUUUGAGACUGAGACAAAAACAGAGUCAGAGGCGUGUACGUUUCAUAACCUUUCCUUUUUUUUUUAAAGAAAAUCCUAAACGCAGCCUGUCGACACAACACACGAAAGCUGCUAGAGCAGAGAAGAUUAACCGCCGUCUGCCGCUGCCGUUCUAAUCAGCCAAGUCGCCACGGCUAGCACAAUGGAAAUUCAUGUACAGAAGUCAACAAUAAUACGGCCUGCCCAAGAAACGCUCAAGCAACGCCUACGAAAUUCUGACUUGGACUUGAUUGCGCCAUCCAAUUACGUCCCCCAGGUAUUCUUUUAUCGACGGCCAAAUUAUUCUUCCCCUAAUUUCUUUGAUGCUGGUUUGCUGAAGGAGUCUCUGAAAAAGAUUCUUGUGCCGUUUCGACCCGUGGCUGGAAGGUUGCCGAGUGAUGAAAGUGGCAGAACCGACAUACUAUGUAACGGAGAGGGGGUUUUGUUUGUGGAGGCGGAAACAAGUUGUGUUAUUGAUGAUUUUGGUGACUUCGCCGAAGGCUCCAAGCUUUUGUCGUUGCUUCCAACUUUUGAUGAGACGAAAGAUAAUUCUUCUUAUCCACUCAUGAUGACACAGGUACGACGAAUAUUUAAUCCCCUGAUCAAUUGAUUCAUGAGACUUGGUUUCAUUAAGUAAUGCUGUGCUGUGUGUGUUGAGUAGGUAACUCGUUUCAAAUGCGGAGGCGUUUGUCUUGCGACUAGAUUUCAUCAUAUUUUAGCAGAUGGAGCUUCAACGUACCAUUUCGUCAACUCAUGGGCUGAGAUGACACGUGGUGUUCUUAUUAGCAUUCCACCUUUCUUUGAUCGAACCGUACUAGAUUUUGGGGUUCCAAAUUCUCCUAGAUUCCAUCACAUUGAAUACGACCCACCUCCUUCAAUGAAUACUCCUACUCAAAAUUCCGAAUCCAUUUGUACCGCAAUCCUGAAUCUGUCACUUGAGCAAAUCAAGAUUCUCAAGGAAAAAUCUAAAGAAAAUCGUGGAUCCACAUUCGAGUACACUAGACUUGAGGUCCUGGCAGCACAUAUUUGGCGAUGCGUAUGUAAAGCACGUGAAUUGUCUGAUGAUCAAGCCAGCAAGUUACACUUUCCUACAAAUGGACGUUCUAAAUUGAAUCCUCCACUCCCAUCCGGGUAUUUCGGAAAUGUAGUCUUCACCACUGCAUUGAUCGCCUUAUCAGGUAAUAUCCUAUCAGAACCCCUGAAUUAUACAGUAGAGCGAAUCCAUAGAGCAUUAGAGCGGAUGAAUGACGAGUAUUUGAAAUCAGCUCUUGCUUAUCUACGUCAACAACCUGAUCCCACAGUUCUAAGAAGAGGAGCUCACACGUAUAAGUGCCCUAAUUUUAAUAUAGUAUAUUUAGCAAACAUGCCUAUUUAUGAUGCAAAUUUCGGGUGGGGGCCGCCAAUGUUUUCAAGGUUGGUUAAUACAUAUUUCGAAGGGGUAGCGCAUAUUUAUCCAAGUCCAAGCAAUGAUGGGAGCUUGACAGUGUUUAUAAACUUGGAAACCCAUCACGUGCAGCCCUUCAAGAAGUUGUUUUAUGAGAUCUUUCAGCACCCCAAGAAUGCAAGAUCUAGAUAUUGAUAUGUCAGUGAUCAAUCAAUGUGAUAAACCAAGUCUGAGAGAAAAUGAUCAAGGGAUCCCUGGUUCGGGUGACUCAACUAGCUGUUGAUGGCUGUAGAUAUUGUGUGUCUUCGGCUCAUUAUGGUUUUGACCUUCCACUUUUGUCAUCCUUGAUAAAAGUUUUUUUCUUUUUUAAUUUCAUAUUUUGUUAGCUCUUUAAUUAGUAAUAUAUUAUUAGUGAUGUACACAGAAUGAGAUUGUUUUCUUCUUUAAUAUAAUAGCUCACUACGCGAUACCAUUACCAAAAGUUCCUAUAACAACUCGAUCUUCCAGCUACCAUACCCUCAAGAACUUUAGAGUAUGUUGGGAAUAGUCAACUAGCCAAACAAAAACGCUAAAGUCCCUUGCAUUAUAAUUCAGAUGUUAUUAAGAGAUUUUUUUUUUUAAAUUUUCAUGACAUCUUUGAUAUAUUUUAGAAUUUCUCCCAUAUGAAAUUUUAAUUUUUUUUUAAAACAAUUGUUAGAUUCGUUGAAUAGGCAUUGUGUUUAACACUUAUUUAAAAAAAAUCCAAAUAUUAUUCUCGGUAAUGAAAAUGUGACACAUUUACAAACCCAACAACUUUGGAAAAUCAAAAUGAAGUAACGAGUAGAUAGAUAAACAGUAUCAAAGCCGAAGGACCAAAGAAGGAACCUAGCCACUUUACAAAAUGAAAAAAUGAAACUACGUGGAGUCGUAUCAUUAAGCCAAAUAUGCGACAUUAUGCAAUGAUAUUUUAGCCCCUCACAUAGUUACACAAUGGGGCGAGGUACACCAUAAACUUUCUCUAUUAGAAACACCAUAAACUUACAAACAGAAAAAAAAAAAAAAAAAAAAAAAGUUGAUGGUGGAAGAGAGUUCACGACAAAAGAGAAAUAGAGAGAGGUAAGCAAAUGGGAGAGAGAAAGAGAUAUAAACUUAUCAAGAGAAAGAGAAGAUAGGUGCAAACAUUUUAGGUAUUUAUUGAAUAAGAAAUUAGGACUAUUUUUAGAAUUAAAAUAGGGGUAUAAGAACAUUUUAAUUUUUAAAUAAUUUUAAUGGGGCAGAAAGAAGAAAAGGAAUUUCAAGAGUUAUUUGGAGGAUGUCAAUAGUCCAACUCAUGGAGGAUGUCAAUAGUCCAACUCAUGUGAUUAAAUAAAUUGGCCCACUUUCAUUAUUUUGUCACCAAUAUCUGAAAAAAAAAAUUUACAGCAAAAUUUAUUGUUCUUAAUUAGAGAUGGCCAAUGGCCAGGCAACAUGCGGCACGGUACGGACACGGUGCAUGUCGAUACAACACGGCAAGACAUGAGCAUAUUUUGGUAGGGCAUGCAGCACAACAUGACACGUAUGCAUGCUGGGCUGAGUUAAAAAUUCUAGGCACGUGAGCCUUAAAAGUACAGGAUGAUUAAAGACAACAAUUGAUAAUAUAUAUGACAAUCUCCUGAUAAAUUUGGUGUGAGUUAAGAAAGAAAUUGAUCAUCACCAGUUACAUGAGGAAAAACCAAAGAAAAAAUAAAAAAGACAACACUUCUUUGAGCAAAAGUCAUAAACAACUUUACCAUUGAGGAUGCAAGACCCUUUUUUUUUAACUUAAUGAAUUAAUUGACUAAUUUUAAUCAGUUAAGUAUUAAGUUUAUUUGUUUUUUCAACUUAAUGAAAAUUUUCAGUUAUUAAGCUAUUUUUUUAGCUUUUUACUUAAUCUAAAAAGUCUGAAUAACAUCGUUAAAAGAUAUUCUCUAAAAUAUCCUUAUCUAAUUAAUUAAUUUUUAAUCCUUACGUGAAUUAAAUUUAAUAAUUAGCAAUAUUAGCCAUCUCUAUAUAACUUGUGAUAAUAUAUAGUGGUAGAUUAUAAUUAUUUUUUUUUUUAUUUUCUUCACAUUAGCAUUAUUUAUCUUCAUAAUUUUCUAUGAAUAUUUUUCAUUUAAAAACAUCAUAAACUAUAAUAAAAUUGUUUAACAUAUAUAACAUAGAAUAUUAAAGAGUUGCAUUCAAUUGAAUAUGAUUUAUGUUAUUAUAUUUUUUGAGAUGUUUAUUAUUUGCUAACAUUUAUAAUUUAUAAGGGCAUAAAUGUAAAAAAUAUUAGUUUUUAGAUUUUUUAAGAUUAAAAAAAUUAAUAUUUAUUUUUAGCGAUUCAGACAAAAAAAGAAACAUAUCAUUCAGCUUCAGACAUUCAGUUCUAUUCACAAUUUUAACUAAUUUAGAUUUAUUCAGAUUUCAGACAAAAAAAAAAAAAAAAACUACAUGCGUCUAUAGCAAAAACAUAAGAGUCUGUAGUUCAUCCUAUUACAAAUAUUUAAGCCCAAAAUAUUUUACAUAGCACCACAAGUCUAAAUUUCCAAAAAAAAAAAAACACACGUUUCCAAUGUUCCAAAAUGGUGUGCUUACUUGACAAAACACAAUUUCAAUUUCCAAAAUGAUAGAAGAUUACAUCUCAUGAAUCACGACCAAUUUUUGAAAGGAUAUAUCCCUUUUUCCAGCUCAUUGGGCAAGUUGAAGAACCCACGUAGCACAUCAUGUUUGGUGGCCAUAAUAUCAAUCGCAUCAAAUAUUUCUUUCUCACUUAAGCCAACAAUCUUACGCAUUUUAUCAUACAACUUAACUUGUAAAUCAGAUAACUACUUAUUAGUAGUAGAAAGUACACUAAUCAACCCAUCUAAUUUGGGUACCAUGGUUGAAAUGGACUCCGUCGUUGCUCCUAUUUUUGAGCACAUAUUGUGAAAUGUUUUGUCCUUGGUUCUCCUUUCCUUUUUUGGGUGGCUGGAAUUACUUGGAGCACUUUCAUUUUUAUUAGCAGGUGCUUGUGAAUUUGAGAAUAUAGAUAUGCGAAUAGAGAUAAUAUUAACAUUCAAAACCAUUAGAUGAGAAAACAAAGAGUUACGAAGCUAAAUCUACCGAGCCCAUAACAAAUCACACAAGUAAACAAGUAAUUUUCAUUUCUUUAUAAUGGAACCUCUACUAAGUGAGGUGGGAAAAUUUAUUAACUAAAAGAAAGUGAAAAUAGUGCAAGAGAGAAGAAAGAGCAAAUGCUAGCCAUAGCUAAACCAUGAAAAGACAUAUAGGCAAGAACUAAAGAGUUACAAAGCUAAAGCUAUCGAGGCUGGACAUAAACGAAGCCCAUCACAAGUCAUGUAUAAGCAAAUAAGUUAAUAAACUAAGAAAUUAUUACAUUUAAAAUUUAAUAUAAAUAUAAAAUUAUGAUCAUUAUUAGUUUUUUUUUUUUAUUAUAUGAGACUAUUGCUCAAACUACAACUGAUAUUAUAUGAGACUAUAACUGAUAUUUACAAAUCAGACUAUUACUGGAAUCGACUUACAUCAAUGCCUACAGAGCUCUGCCCAGAUUUUAAUCAUCACUAAUAUUCGAGGGAUGUCUACCGACUUACAUCAAUGCCUACGGAGCUUUGCCUAGAUUUUAAUCCACAUUAAUAUUCGAAAGAUGUCUACUCCACUUACUCUUGGAUAAGAGAGAAUAUUACCUUCACUCAUUUAUACAAUAUAAUUAAGGAAGGAAAUACCCCCACAUUGCGCAGGGCGAGUGGCAUGAUAAUUAUUAGUUAAAUAAACUAAGAACUUAUUACAUGAAGUUCCCACUUACCAAGUAUAUCCAGGUUUCUGUUCAAUCAUCUCUAAUUAGAAAACGAAAAUAUUCCACAGUUCUUUAUUUUCUUUUGAAAAAGAAAAUCCUCGUUUUCUUGGUAUUCCUUCAAAUUAAAGUUAAAAUGAUAGAUGAGAGGCAGAUAAUGGAAGGCAAAAGACAGAAGAAAAAGGUUGGUCAUAAUGUGUUAAAACGAAAAAUAUGCUUUUGAGAACAAAUCUACUCAAAUCCCUAACUACUCUUACUCCAACUGAUGUGUGUAAGCAAAUAAUGAUGUGACCUCGAUCAUCUCAAUGACUCUGUAACAACCCUAUAAAUAUAUAUUUUUAUCUAUCCUGCUAGUUUGUACAUGGGAUCAGAACCCUCAAUCAAUGGUAGUUGGCUCAAGAUUUUAAAAGAAGCGGGGAGUUCGGAAUCCUCUCACUUCCAUAUUUUUUGUUUUUUUUUUUGGUUUAAACCACCCGAUUUCCGGCAACUGCAUUGGGCCCCGACUAAUCCGGAUUCGGGGUGUAAUCACAGUUAAGGCUCUUUACCCCUCCCAAAUGGUUUGUUUAGUGGGGAUCGAACUCGAGAACUCUUCCCACUUACCCAGCCUGCGUCGCCAACUGAGCCACAACCGUUUGGUCACUUCCAUAUUUACUUGCUUGUUUAAGAAAGAAAAUAAGAAUCCCUGUUCACAAGUAUUAUUUCAUUUUCUUAAUUUUUUAUUUCUGGUACUUACUUCAUUUUUCUCUAUUCAUUAGGUCUGGAUCCACGAAAUCUGCACCCGGUCCUUUUUUGAAGGGUGGGGUUAUAUGCACUCUAAAAUUUACUUUGGACACUCACAUUUUAAUAAUUAUUUAUAUUACUAAAUUAACCUUAAUGUAAUUUACUAUUAAGGACAAUUUUAAUAAAAUAUAGUAUAACAAAUUUUUGUCCAACAUCAUAUUUUAUUUACAAUAAACCACAUCAACUUUAUAACUGAAACAAAAGGAAUUAAAAAUAGAGGUGGAGGAAGAACAACAAAUUGCACCACUCCAACAUAAGAAAACGCAAGUAAAUCAAAGGAUUUUGUUUUAAAUUUGCUCUCCGAUUUGCAUGCUUUUAUGGGUUUGAAAAACAAUUAAAUUGCGGCAAUAAGAGAAGAACAAAUACAGGGGCGGGUGCAGUAUGUGACCAGUGGGGGUUGUAGCCCUCGCUGGCCAAAAAAAAAAUUCUAAGAAUAAAAGAAAAAAUAUUUAAGAUUUCUAAUUAGUCCCCAAUAAAUCUAUUAAAAUUGACCUUAUACAUUUAUAAAUUCACAAAAUUUAAACUUUAACUUUUAAAAUUAUAAAAGCCUACAUUAUAAUUAAAAAUAAUGAUAGGUCAUCACCACAAAUAUUUUUCUAUUCUUGAAAAUGUGUCAAGAACAAUUAUAAAUAUAUUAAUAAAUAUUUUAUAUAUUCAAAGUUUUAGUUUUAAAAUUUUACUAUUAUGUAAUCUAGGCUUCGGUAAAUUAUUUUUUUAGAUCUGCCACUGAACAAAUACAUAUCAAACCAUAUUAUGAACAGAAAAGAAAAGUGAAUAAAAAUGGAAAAAAAAGUUAGAUAUUUUGUUUGUGAUGAUGAAUAUUUCAUUUGGUAUAAAGAAGAAACAAGGUAAUUAAAGAAAUGAGGACAAUAUAAAAUUUAAAAGAGUGUUACAAAUAAAAACUAACAUUUUUGAGAUUAUUAAUUAAGCGCGCGGACUAAACGAAUGUUUAAAGUAGAUUUUAGCGUUCAAAUAGCCCUACUGUUUUUCUAAUGAUAUGUGCAUUAUUAAAUUUAAAAAAAAGUUGGAUGCAGAUCAUCAGCAUCUGAUAUUUGCCACGUAUUCGGAUCCAUUUUUUAAUUAUAAAAAAAAAAAGACAAAAAUAGAAUUUUUUAUUUUGAAACUGAGACAAAAACAGAGUCAGAGGCGUGUAAGUUUCAUAACCUUUCCUUUUUUUUUUUAAAGAAAAUCCUAAACGCAGCCUGCCGACACAACACACGAAAGCUGCUAGAGCAGAGAAGAUUAACCGCCGUCUGCCGCUGCCGUUCUAAUCAGCCAAGUCGCCACGGCUAGCACAAUGGAAAUUCAUGUACAGAAGUCAACAAUGAUACGGCCUGCCCAAGAAACGCCCAAGCAACGCCUACGAAAUUCUGACUUGGACUUGGUUGCGCCGUCCAAUUACAACCCCCUGGUAUUCUUUUAUCGACGGCCAAAUUAUUCUUCCCCUAAUUUCUUUGAUGCUGGUUUGCUG
Molecule: long non-coding RNA, 44924 nt
Filed under: Citrus maxima (pomelo)
Lineage: Eukaryota; Viridiplantae; Streptophyta; Magnoliopsida; Sapindales; Rutaceae
Description: long non-coding RNA (CMAX_LNC002017)
Source: RNAcentral